This 59977-nucleotide long non-coding RNA is filed under the name Lactuca sativa (garden lettuce). Its description in RNAcentral is "long non-coding RNA (LSAT_LNC001573)". The record is from RNAcentral. Lineage: Eukaryota; Viridiplantae; Streptophyta; Magnoliopsida; Asterales; Asteraceae.
UUACACUCUCUCAUACAUUCAUACUCUCACUCUCAUUUUUUCUAUUGGAGGACACGUGUCAAUGGACACCAAAGUAGGCUCUCUGGACGUCGUCGCCAUCCCUAACGGCGACAUCGGCUGUCCGCCACACGGUGGUGUAUCCUCCGUCCAGACAUCCACCGUUCCGAUCAGCUUCUCCGAGGCCACUCUCGGCCGACACCUGGCUCGCAGGCUAGUUCAGAUCGGUGUCUCUGAUGUCUUCUCUGUUCCCGGCGAUUUCAACCUCACUUUGCUUGACCACCUCAUCGCCGAGCCUGGACUCAACCUUGUUGGCUGCUGCAAUGAGCUCAACGCAGGUUAUGCUGCUGACGGAUACGCUAGGUCUCGCGGCGUUGGAGCCUGCGUCGUUACUUUCACUGUCGGCGGACUUAGUGUCAUCAACGCCAUUGCCGGAGCUUACAGUGAGAAUCUACCGGUGAUUUGUAUUGUCGGUGGUCCGAAUUCUAAUGAUUACGGUACUAACAGAAUUCUUCAUCAUACGAUCGGGUUGCCGGAUUUUAGCCAAGAGAUUCGAUGCUUUCAAACCGUUACUUGCUUUCAGGUACCAAUUCAAAGCUAACAUACUUUUCGAAUAUAUGAUUCUGUUGAGUGUUGAUCGUUCAAUUUCGCCGAUCGUGUAUACUUCACAUUCCACUCGAUCAACCACUUCGCGUUACUUUUUAAACUUAGGUUAUUUUCAAUUUGAUCGAAAACCUACAAAUGUCUUUGCUAUGAUUUGUUUUCGUUCAUCCUUUUGUGUGCAUUGGAUUGCUAUAAAUCACUCAGUAAAAUCCUUAGUUACUUAAACAGAUACAACAUCGAUUCAUUGCGAUAUAGAAAUCACAAUGACUUAUCACUCUGGUUAUUACUAUGUUCUAUGAUUCUGAGUUAAUUACUACUUUGAAUAUAGGCCGUGGUUAACAAUUUGGAAGAUGCACACGAACUGAUCGACACAGCUGUUUCAACAGCCUUAAAAGAAAGCAAGCCAGUUUACAUCAGUAUCAGCUGCAAUCUACCUGCAAUUCCUCAUCCUACUUUUACCCGGGACCCUGUUCCCUUUUCUCUCUCUCCCAAGUAAGUUCCACAUCCUUCGAAUCUCUAACUAAUCAUAAUUUCAUUCAAAUCAAUUUUAAAUUCCGAUCUCUUCUACCAAAAUCACAUAGGUUGAGCAAUCACAUGGGUUUAGAAGCAGCCAUUGAAGCAGCAGCAGAGUUUCUAAACAAAGCGGUGAAGCCAGUAAUGGUCGCCGGACCUAAACUCCGUGUAGCAAAAGCCAGCAACGCAUUUGUUGAAUUAGCAGACUCAUGUGGGUAUCCUGUAGCUGUGAUGCCAUCAGCGAAAGGGAUGAUCCCAGAACACCAUCCUCAUUUCAUCGGAACAUAUUGGGGUGCUGUAAGCACUGCUUUUUGUGCAGAAAUUGUUGAAUCUUCUGAUGCUUACUUAUUUGCUGGACCUAUAUUCAACGACUACAGCUCUGUAGGCUAUUCUCUUCUCCUCAAGAAAGACAAAGCCAUAAUCUUGCAACCUGAUCGUGUAAUAAUUGGAAAUGGCCCAACUUUCGGGUGCGUGUUGAUGAAAGAUUUCUUGUUAGGUUUAUCAAAAAGACUUAAGAAGAACACAACUGCAUACGAGAAUUAUCACAGAAUUUAUGUUCCAGAAGGUCACCCUCUUAAAUCUGCUCCUAAAGAGGCAUUGAGGGUUAACGUUCUGUUUCAACACAUACAGAAUAUGUUGUCAGGUGAUACAGCUGUCAUUGCUGAAACCGGUGAUUCGUGGUUCAAUUGUCAGAAGCUAAAGCUUCCAAAAGGAUGCGGGUAAGUUUCAAUUAUCUAUUAUCUGCUAUUUGCUAUCUAUUAUCUGGUUUUAAAGGUGAGAGGAUGAUUUGGUUUUUGUAGGUAUGAGUUCCAGAUGCAAUACGGGUCAAUUGGGUGGUCAGUCGGAGCGACACUUGGGUACGCACAAGCUGCAACCGACAAACGAGUGAUUGCGUGUAUUGGUGACGGAAGCUUCCAAGUCACGGCUCAAGAUAUUUCAACAAUGAUUCGAUGUGGCCAAAACACCAUCAUUUUCCUAAUAAACAAUGGCGGAUACACCAUUGAAGUCGAGAUCCAUGACGGGCCCUACAAUGUCAUAAAAAAUUGGAACUACACUGGUUUAGUUGACGCGAUCCAUAAUGGCGAGGGCAAGUGUUGGACUAGUAAGGUAAGUUAUUGGGCUUGGUGUUGGUUGGUUUUACAGAUGGUAUCAGAGUAGUAGUUUAAGUGAAACUUAUGUUUUUUUUGUAGGUGUUGUGUGAAGAGGAGCUUGUUGUGGCUAUUGAGAAGGCGAUGGGGGAGAAAAAGGAUUGUUUGUGUUUUAUUGAAGUGGUUGUGCACAAAGAUGAUACGAGCAAAGAGUUGCUCGAGUGGGGUUCCAGAGUUUCAGCUGCUAACAGCCGACUUCCGAACCCUCAGUGAAAAUAAAGUUAAUUUAUUUUUACUGUGUGGGGCCGGAUGAGGAUUUGCUAGGGUUUUAUGAUGUAUAAAGUGGUUUUAUGAUGUAUAAAGUGUUAGGAGUCUAUAAACGUUUGUUGCUAUUUUGAUCGAGAAAGAAUAAUGAUUUUUAGUUGUGUGUGUUUUCGCUUGGUAUGAAAAUGGAGUUUUCAAAAUUAUGGUUGUGUUUUUGAGACGUGGAAAGGCCCAACUGUUUCUCCGAUUGUGAAAUUUGUGAUUGUCUUUCGAACUUUUUGAAAAAGAAAAACAAAGCAAGUAACAUUGUAUUCUCGUGAACUUUUUUUUUUUUUUUUUUUUUUUUUUUUUUUUUUUUUUUUUUNUUUUUGAAAGAGAUGAGAAAGAUUCAUAUACAUAAAGAUAAACAUUAAUUGCUUGAUUUGAAUAUCGGUAUAUGUUCAAAAAAUAUAUUUUUAUUCAAAAGAUCUUUUAAUUAGAUCAUAUAAUAUAGCUUUUUUUUUUUAAUUAAUAUAAGAAAACCUAUCAUCCAAACUAUGUGACAUAUGUAAUUUCACUUAAUUUAACUCUUGCAUGCAUCUUAUUUGCACAAAGAGAUCCAUACAUACGAUAGACUUAGUAAACAUAAAUGUAAAGCAAAGUAAAUACAACUCUUUGAAAAUAAAUACACAAACAAUAGACUUGGUAAAAGAUAAAUGUAAUGCAAAAUAAUUCUAUAAUUCUAUGAUUUAUCUUUUUUAAAGUACAUAAAAUUGUCACGUCUUUUAAAAACGUUAUGACACACCAAGGUCGUCAUGACUUAGGCUUGAUCUUGCCACAUCAUCUUGUUUAGAAUCUUGAUAAUUAGGCAAUGUAUUCACUCAAAUGUGAACGGAUGUGCUACAUUCAUUCUGUUGGAGUAAUUGUUAGUUUAAGAAAUUCAUAUAUUCAUAUAUUAUUUACUAAUACAAAAAGAUAUAAGGGGUGGUUGGUUUAUUAAAAAAUAAACUUUAACAACCUAAUGCUCGUGUUAGUUUAUUCACCAUUUUUAUUUAACAACUUUAAGCAUGUCCAUAAAUGCUUGUGGUGCAGCAGUGUUCCGACUAUUAUAUAUUAAUAUAUUAUAAGUUCUAAUAUAUUAAUAUAAAAUCAUAUUAUUUAAUUAGUGUUGAUCUAUAAUUGAUCUAGAAUUAAUUUAGAGAUCAAAAGUAUGACUAAUUAAAUAUGGGCUUUUAUAUUUAUAUAGUGUGGGCUAAUGCUUAUUUGGAAUGGGCUAGGCUUGCAUGGAAAGUCUAUGGAUACUCCAUGGAGCUUUAACCCAUGGAUCUCAUGGAAAUAAAAAGACAUGGGUAUUAGGGUUUACAUGGAUGUAACCUUAAUCCACCACACUAUAUAAAUGAGGCUUUGGUUCUUGAAAUCAGACUAGUUGUUGUGAGUAUAUACUAAGAGGGCCGAUUUCAAGAAGGUUGUUACUAUUCUCUCAAAGUUCCAAAGUUUGUGGUGAUUUGUGAUUUCCAUUUGAGGCAUCCACACUAUUGGUGCUAGACUCUAAAACUCCAAGCAAUCAACUACAACUACAAGGUAAGUAAUUCUACUAGCUUUAUUUGAUUCAAGUUCCCCAUGUCAUGCUAGAUAGGAUAAGAACCUUGGAAAAAAUAAUUAUUGCAUGUAUCUUAGUCAAACAUAGAUCCAAGGUUUCUAGGGUUGCAUGUACACCAUAUGCGUGUUAGAAUGCUCAAAACCCAUCAAUUAUAUGGUAUGUGGUUGUUUGGGGGAGCUCACUAAGUUUCGUGCUUACAGUUUUCAGUUUUGAUUUCAGGUACUUCCAUUAGCAAAGGGAAGGGCUCGGAUUGAUCGCAUGUCACACACCACAGUCACAGCCUGGGAGUUUACUCUGAUGUUUUGUUAUGGGAUUUUGAUUUGAGACAGACAGUAUGAUGUUUUAUGAUACAUGACUUAUGAUUUCACUUAUGAAUUAUGAUGAUUUAUGACUUUAUUAAUGAAUUGAAAACAAAAUUUUUGGGUCGUAUUUUUGGGAUGUUUCAAGUUGAUAUCAGAGCCUUGGUUUGAGAGAUUCGGGCAUACUUUUGGGUGUGUCUGAACUCAAACUAAGGAAGUGGUAUAAAAUUUUCAAAAGAAAAUCAUUUUUACAAAAAGGGAUUUUGAAAUUUGAAAAGAACUUUGAAAAAGGGUGUGGUGCAUGCAAUCAGCCGAGCUCAAGUAAGUACUCCCAAAUUACCCAUACAAGUUUAUGUUAUGUCAUGAUAAUCAACUUUAUUAGAACAUCAUGCUAGAUUAGGACUAAGGAUCUAGGAAGGAUGCCUUAUGUGCAUGUUAUAUGUGUUUUACCUCUAUGAGAACUGCAUGCUAGUACAGAAUUGUCAGUAUGAUAGCCAGAGUAGUAUAUGCUUGAUUAUGUGUACUCAAUGCUCGAAUGUUGCUUGCUUUGUGCCUUUAGGAGUCCUAGUUAUCUUUUACUAACUAGUGAAUGAAUAUGUUGCGUUACAUAUUGCGAGGAUUAAAUAAUUUCAGAAGGUUAGGUCAAGCUUUAUUGUGCAGCUCUUGUUUGAGUCCAACUGUUGUAGGGUAGGAUCUCUCAUUCGAAAAAUUAACUAGUCUAAGUAAUAUGUAAUAGUAUUCGCGAGCUAGUUAGGGGAAGGUAACCGAGACUUCUUAUGCAGCUCAUGGCGGAGAGUGGGAUGGUGAUUACCCUAGGGCAAGCCUAGGAUGAGAGUAGCACGUGAAGCAGUAGUAGUAGAAGGGACUUGGUGGAGUCAAGGCAGUUCUUGAGGAAAGUACGGAUAGGUGUGGAAGGUAGUAUGGGCCCGUACUACUGAAAGCAAAGGAUCCGUACUCGAACCAAGGAAGACUGAGAUGAAUCCAGGAAACUUGUAGUGUAUGAUAUCACUCGAGUUAUUUUCAGUAUUCUGAUGUUGUAUUGUUGGAUUUUUCAGAAUGGUGGUUUUACGCCCUAGACCAGUAGUCAGAAGUUCAGGUGCCGGUAGGGGAUCAGGCUCAGGCUCUGGAGCUGAGUAGCUAGAUGAGCAGACCAGGGAGUUCAUCUCCUCAGAGAUCACGCGUAACAUACUAGACCAUACUCAUGUGAUAUUUGGCAUGAUCAAGGAGGGCAUUCUUGAGAUUUUGGAUGAGAGGUUGAGUGUGUUCCGCACUGAGGUGGCGACCAUGAUGGGUUCGCGCACACUGACUUUCAGGGAGUUCAGGGCUUGUGGAGCUCCCGACUACCAUGGGGCUCGAGACCCCAUUACGAGUACCAGAUGGUUGGUAGAUGUUUCCAAUGCGUUCCACACCAGCAAAUGUACCGAGGGGGACAAGGUCAGAUUGGCAUCCUACAUUUUGAAGGAUAGGGCCCAAGAUUGGUGGGAGGAGAUUGGACGAGCUAUUGGUGAUGGCUCAGUUUUGGAUGCGAUGACCUAGAGUGAUUUCACAAACAGGUUCAGGGUCGAGUUUGCACCUAUGAUUGAGGUGCAACAACUUGCUAGGGAGUUUCAGGACCUCCAGCAGACGACAGAGACUGUGGCGGAGAUUACCGUCAAGUUUAGGGAGAGGGCUCUCCUCGUUCCGCAAUAUAUGGUGGAUAAGGAGAUGAAGAAGGCCCGGUAUCAUGAGAUGUUGCGGAGCGAUAUCCGCCAGUUUGUGAGCCACUCCAGCUGCAAAAUGCUGGAGGACAUGAUUGUGAGGGCUCGUGAGAGGGAGAUUGAUCUAGAGAUGGAGAGGAAGAAGAAGCCAGAGGUAGCGUCUGGCGCUGCAGGUUCGGGCAAAAAGCGCAAGGUGUCUAAUCACAGGUCUAGGGGACAAUAGAGCCAUAGUCGGUGUGGCAAGUAUGGCAGGUUGCACGAUGGGGUGUGUAAGGCGAGGAGUUCCGGCUGCUUCAAGUGUGGUCGGACUUGACAUAUGAGUAUGGAUUGUCUAACCACUACCACCACCACCACCACUACCACAACAUCUGAUCUAAUUUGCUUCCAUUGCAAUCAGAGGGGACACAAGAAGUCCCAGUGUCCGAUUUUAGCACCUGCAGGACAGAUGGUAGCACCCGCCCCGACCACACUGAGGAUUACAGACGGCCGACAAGGUCGUGCUAAGGCGCCAGUGGCGAAGAGCAGAGCCUUCCAGAUGACAGUAGAGGUGGCACGAGCGAAUCCUGAUGUGGUUUUUGGUAUGUAUUUUCUCCAUCUUCUCUUUAUUACUUUUGAUUAUUACUCAUGUUUAUGUGUUGUUUAUAGGGUCGUUCCUAAUGAACGGUAUUUCAGCCAUGGUAUUGUUUGAUUCGGGGGCUAGCCGAUCGUUUGUGUCUCUUGCACUUAGCAAGCGAUUUAGCAGAGCUCUGGGGGAGCUGGAUUGCCCCCUCGAUGUUGAGAUAGAAGAUGAUAGGACCGUUAGGGCCGCGAGAGUUCAUAGAGGAUGUACACUUCGUUUAUUUGAUGAGCAGUUCUCAGUGGGCUUGGUUCCUAUUCCCCUGCGAGGGAAUAAGGUUAUCGUGGGAAUGGAUUGGUUGAGCCCCAAUGGGGUAGUGAUUGACUCCGAGUAGUAGCUUGUGAGGGUUCGUACUCCCAGUGGGGGAGAGUUAGUGAUUCAGGGCGAGAGCCCACAACGCGGACCGAUCCUUUGUUCUGCGGCGAGAGCGAGGCGCUACUUGCAGCAAGGAUGUGCAGGAUACGUCGCCUAUGUUAUGGAUAUCCAGGAUAAGGGUAAGGCGACGGUUGAUUACGUACCAGUAGAACGAGAGUAUCCGGAUGUAUUCCCGGAGGAUUUCCCUGGGAUACCUCCGGAGAGACAGGUUAAGUUCCGGAUCGACUUGGUCCCUGGUGUGGCUCCGAUAGCCAAGGCACCUUGUCGACUGGCUCCUCCCGAGAUGCAGGAGUUGUCUGCGCAACUACAAGAGCUGCUAGACAAGGGUUUUAUCAGGCCGAGCAGUUCACCAUGGGGAGCCCCGAUCCUGUUUGUAAAGAAGAAGGACGGGUUGCACCGUAUGUGCAUAGAUUACCGGGAGCUAAACAAGGUGACGGUGAAGAACCGUUACCCACUCCCUAGGAUAGAUGAGUUGUUCGACCAGCUUCAGGGAGCAUCUUGGUUCUCCAAGAUUGAUCUACAGUCCGGAUAUCACCAUAUGUAGGUCAGAGAUGAUUAUGUGCAGAAGACCGCUUUUAGGACCCGCUAUGGUUAUCAUGAGUUUGUGGUGAUGCUGUAACGCACCGAUUCUCAGGUAUUGUUAAAUAUGAAUUUCUUUGAUUUUGAGGUCUACUCGAUGAGUUGGUUGUUCUACUCGCCGAGUAGCAGCGGGUUGGGGACGCGUAUUUAGUGGCCUACUCGCCGAGUAGGAGCUUGCAGAUGAAACCCUAAAUCACGGGGGUUUGCACCCUAUUUAAGGAAGCAUAAGCCUCCUUUGGCCUCUUUGCAGUCCAUUGGGAGCUCAGAAAACCCUAAUUCAUGUGGUGCUUCAUUCUUUUGAAUUUAAAGCUUUGGGGAGGAGCUCUUUUCAGAAAAGGAACUUGAAGGACAAAAGGCUAGGGGCAAGGAGGUGUGGGAAAUCAGAAAUCUACCUCAGAUAGCAUCAUUUGGAGGUAUAAAGUCGGUACCUUUACUUCAUUUUCCUUCUAGACCUCAUUUGGUUGAGAUCUAGGGUUUUAUGGUUUGGUUGAGAUGAUAAUGUGGGAUAUGGGCUAGAUCUGAAGUUGUAACUUUAGAUCUGGACCCUUCUUCGGUUCUAGAUUCAUAAAGCCCCAAAUUUGGUCAUGUAUGAAGCCUCUUUGAGUAUGAAACCCCAUUGUGAGCUUGGAUUUGACAUUUAGAGCCUUUGUAGCUAUACAUGCACGUAAAGUUUGCAACUUUACAUGAAAAGCAUGCCUUAGAAGCUUGGAUCUGUAAUUUGGAGCCACUGCAUGGCUUAAAAGAGUCUGUAUGGCUUAAGGACUGAUGGAACUCGGCGAGUUGCAAGGUUGACUCGGUGUGUCUCAUGAAGAUGAACCUGGACCCGACGAGUUGGAUGAACAACUCGGCGAGUCCGAUGAAGAUUGCUACAGACUCGAUGGGUUGGAUGAACAACUCGGCGAGUCGGUUGAGGUUUCCCUAAUUUAUGUAUGCGUGUGUAAUCGUCGAGUUGCAAGAAGGAAACUCGAUGAGUUACCUUAGGGUUUCGAUCAUAAACCAAAGGAACUCGACGAGUGACUCCGGUGACUCAGCGAGUGGGCAAGUACUUCAAGGAACUCGGCGAGUAGCCGAGGGUACUCGGCGAGUUAGGGUCAACAUGGACUGUUGACCUUGACUAAUGACUUUGACUUUGACCAUGGGUUGACUAGUUGGCUUAUGGAGUAUCGUGUAAGGUUGAGGAAUUAUGGGUAUAUUCGUAUUAUGGUAAUAGGUGGUGGAGUCUUUGGCAAGUGAUCCGAGAGUUGGAGUUAAUCUACCAAAUCGACAUCUGCAAGGUGAGUUAUCCUCACUAUAUCAAAAGGUUCUAAGGCACCAAGGCCUGCCCUUUCAAUGUUAUGGUUAUGAUAUGAUAUAUGUGGUUAUGAUAUGAUAGAUCGGAAUCAGGAUAGACAAGAUGUUAUGCUUUCAUGAUCCUUAGGGAUUGGCAUGUUAGUGGCCUGCCAGGACGGUGCUUUAGUUAUGAGAGAUUACUAUGAUUGAUGAUCAAUGAGAUAGAUAUGUUUGAUGUCUGUAUAUGCCAGUAUAUGUUAGUUAUGCGCACAUGAUUAAUUGUCUGUUGGUUGGGUUGAGGUGGUCCUGCUUUGUGCUGAAGGCCAACAUACCCUUUGAGCGGUCCGGGGAGACUGUAGGCCCACGUGGCGGUCCAGUCAUGCCAAAGGCUCGGUAUAGAUUCAGUUAGACUGUAGGCCCUGUAGGGCAGUCCAGUCAGGCCGAUGGCCCAAUAUGCAUGUUGAUUGAUUGAUUAUUACUGAUAUGGUAUUAUCAGUGUGGUAUUGGUAUUUUGGGGGUAGCUCACUUAGCCCUCGGGCUUACAAUUUUCAGGUAUUGUUUCAGGUACUGCAGGAGAUCAUGGCAAGGCGAAGGCAUGACCGUACCGCUCCUCAUCCUUAUGAUCUGGCUUUUGGGACACUCUGAUUGAAUAAUGAUUUGAAAACAUUUUCUGUAAACAAUAUUAUUGGGUUUUAUUUAUGAUUGAAAAAAGUUUAAAUUUGGUGUAAAACUGAUGGAUGUUACAAGUUGGUAUCAGAGCCUUGGUUUGAGUGAAAUGGAGGAACACUCGUGUGAAUCCAGUCUCAAAUCAAGGGAAUAUUUGGAAAAUAAAAUUUUUUAAAAUGGUUUUCAAAAUAAAGGAUGGACGAUGCAGAAGGUACGAUCAGCCGGAGCCUAUAAGUAAAUCCCAAAUGACCAUACAAUUAUUUGAUAUUAUGAUAUGUUAGAACAACAUGCUAGUGCUAGGCUAGGGAUCUUCAGGAAUCGCAUGAUAGACUUGCCUGAUUAUACGAUGCCUACUAGCCUAGGGUUUCUUGUAUAUGGAAUUGACAUCAUUACUAUAGUUGCUAGUGUAUGCAUCACAGUUGUGUGUAAUCAAGAUCUUAUAGCUUGAGAAUGUUGGAUUCAGUCUUCGGAUAGGAUUGGAUAUUCGAAAGUUUAUUAGGUCCUGUGUUAUGUGCAACUAGCAUGCACUAGCACUGCAUGGCUUGAUGAAAGUUUCAUGGAUGUGUGAGUUGUGAGGAGCUGUGAGAUCAGUUGCGAGAUAGGCGAUGUUUCCCUAGGAGUGAGGGUUGAGUGCAUAUUAUGAUGACGAUAGUGUUAGGGUGUUGUGGUGAUACUUGAGACAAAUAUGGGUAGGUAUGGAAGGUAGUAUGGGCCCGUACUACUGAAAGCAUAGGACCCAUACAUGUAGCAAGGAAGUCACAACCCCUAGGGUUUGUGGGUUUUGGUCUCCCGAUAUUAUGUUGUUUAUCUGAUGUCUUGAGUAUUUUUUAGUAUGGUGGUGACGAGACAUUUUAAUGUUGGGUCUGGAUCCGGAUCAGAAUCAAGAUCAGGAUUAGGAUCGGGAGACAGAGGGUCGGAGGUGCCGGUAGCACCUAAGCCUGUGGUAUAGAUAGGGACAGAGGAGUUGGAUGCCAGGAUCCGGGAGAUUCUGCACGAUGAGAUAGCUGCAGCAUUCCGAGCGCAGUUUCCAGAGAUGUUUGGGUCGAUUAAGAUCGCGAUGGUUGAGUACUUUGAUGAGCGAUAUGCAUCUCUAGAAGAGACAACUGCCGCUACAGUCACUUCGGCUGUAACCGCGGCAGGGGUUGGAGGAGGAGCCGACAGGGCUUUCCAGUACCAGGACUUCGAUAAGACGAAUCCCCCGACAUUUGAUGGUACACAAGAUGCGAUCAGGGCUAUGAGGUGGUUAUCUGACGUGGAGGGCUGUUUCUUCAUCUGUUCAUGUCCUGCUGACCAGAAGGUUAGGUGUGCCCUAAACCUGCUGAGGCUUGGGGUAAAGGACUGGUGGAGAUUGACGACAAGGUCGUACACUGAUGAUCAGCGAGCCGCUGUUACUUGGGAGCAGUUCUGGGAUAUGUUCCUCACCUGCUACGUUCCACGCGUUGAGCGGGAGCGGCUUGCUUGGGAGAUUUUGAGAUUGAGGCGGGAUGGGGAGUCAGUGAUGAAGAUCACUCAUAUGUUCACGGAGAGGGAUAUGUUUUGUCGAGAGUUUGCUUCAAUGCAGUCUUAGAUGACUUGUUAUCUGAGUAUGCUCAAGACUGAUAUUCGACAGUUUGUUGCUACGCAACGUUGUGAGACUCUCUUGGAUCUUCAGGAAGCCGCGAGGCGGCGUGAGUUGGAGUUAGAGCUGCAGUUGAAGGAGCAACGUCAGGUUGCGACACAGUCUCAGACGGCACCUAAGUGGUCCAAGACCGCUGAUACUCGGACCGGGGGUCAGCAGAGCCGCACUUGUGGAAAGUGUGGCAGGGGUCAUUCUGGGGUUUGUCGAGCAGGAGGUGGUUGCCACAAAUGUGGCAAUAAGGGACACUAUGCCAGGGACUGUCUCCAGUCCGCCCCUCCAACAGAUAUGAGGAUUUGUUACCAGUGUCAUCAAGUUGGUCACGUGAAGACUAACUGCCCGCAGCUCGCCGCCAAGCCGGCGUAGGGAUCCACACCGACUACUUUGAGGAUUGGGGAUGGGAGGCCGGUCAAGGUGGAGCCUCCAAAGGCUUAGGGGUGCGCCUUCCAGCUCAUGGCCGAGGAGGCCAAGGUAGCACCGGAUGUGGUUGCUGGUAUGUUUCUAUUUUCUAUUUCAGUUAUUGUAUCUGUGUUAUGCUUAUCGGUGGUACCUGUGUUUAGGUACGUUAUUAGUAAACUCUUUGCCUGCUUUGGUUUUAUUCGACUCAGGGGCGAGUCGGUCGUUUGUAUCUCAGACCUUCAGUAGAGGGUUCAGUAUGUCGGUAGAUGAGCUUGAGUGUCCGUUGCGAGUUUCGAUCGCCAACGAGCAUAGGAUUUAUGCUUCUUCGAUUUUCUGGGGAUGCAAGCUGGAGAUUUUUGGGGUAUCAUUCCCGAUAGAUUUGAUUCCUAUUCCCAUGGGGGAAGUAUGUGUGAUCGUAGGGGUGGAUUGGCUCAGCCGGUUUGGCGCCAUGAUUGACUAUGAGGGUCAGCGAGUGGCUGUUCGAACCCCAAGUAGGGGUGAACUGGUAGUGUAUGGUGAGGGCACCAAAGUGGGAGCAGGGUUUUGUUCAGCCGCCACGACUCGGCAAUUCAUUCAGCACGGGUGUGCCGGUUAUCUAGUGUAUAUGAUAGAUACGCGGAUUGAGGAUCAUACUUCAGUUUUAGAGGUUCCAGUGGUUAGGGAGUUUGCUGAUGUGUUUCCUGAUGAGCUACCUGGAGUGCCUCCAGAGAGGCAGGUAGACUUCAGGAUUGAUCUAAUGCCGGGUGCGGCCCCUAUCGCCAAGGCGUCGUACUGUCUGCCAUCGCCAGAGAUGCAGGAGUUGGCAUCUCAGCUGUAGGAGCUGCUGGGUAAGCAGUUUAUUCGCCCGAGUAGUUCACCCUGGGGAGCACUGAUCCUCUUCCUCAGGAAGAAGGACGGUUCGCACAGGAUGUGCAUUGACUAUAAGAAGUUGAACAAGUUAACUAUGAAUAACCGUUAUCCACUCCCGGGGAUAGAUGAUCUUUUUGAUUAGCUACAGGGUGCAUCUUGGUUCUCCAAGAUCGAUUUGAGGUCCGGAUAUCACCAGGUCAGGGUGAGGGAGGAAGAUGUGGAGAAGUCCGCGUUCCAAACUCGUUAUGGUCAUUACGAGUUCGUGGUGAUGCCGUUUGGGCUCACCAACGCGUCGGCAGUGUUCAUGGAUUUGAUGAACCGAGUCUACAUACCGAUGCUCGAUCGCUCGGUCAUUGUGUUCAUAGAUGAUAUCUUGGUGUAUUCCAAGACCCGAGAGUAGCACGAGGAGCAUCUCAAGGAGCUGUUGGAGGUUCUGCGACGUGAACGGUUGUAUGCCAAGUUCUCGAAGUGUGAGUUUUGGUUACGAGAGGUCCAGUUCCUUGGACAUAUCGUUAAUCAGGAGGGGAUUUUGGUCGAUCCGGCCAAGGUGGACUAGGCAUCCACACUAUUGGUGCUAGACUCUAAAACUCCAAGCAAUNUAUCUCCCUCGGACAUCAGGAGUUUCUUGGGUUUAGCAGGGUACUACCGGAGAUUCAUUUGAGAUUUCUCCAAGAUUGCGGUACCCCUCACUCGUUUAACGAAGAAGAGGGUGGAUUUAUGGUGGGGCCCUGAGCAGCAGAAGGCGUUUGAGACCCUCCGGCAGUGUUUAUGUGAGGUGCCGGUGUUGACACUCCCCGAGGGAGUCGAGGAUUUUGUAGUAUUUUGUGAUGCAUCCAUCUGCGGGCUUGGGGGCAAUCCUCAUGCAGAGAGUACGAGUGAUAGCUUAUGCAUCGCGGCAGCUGAAGCCGCAUGAGACGAGAUACCCUACGCAUGAUCUUGAGUUGGGAGCGGUGGCUUUCGCUCUCAAGAUUUGGAGGCAUUAUCUGUACGGGGUCCGUUGCACUAUAUAUACGGAUCACAAGAGUUUGAGACACAUCAUCGAUCAGCUGAACCUGAACAUGAGGCAGCGUAGGUGGCUGGAUGUGGUCAAGGACUAUUAUUGUGAUAUCCUUUACCAUCCUGGUAAAGCAAAUGUGGUUGCAGAUGCUUUGAGCCGCAAGUCAGCUAGGUCUUCUACCCCAACAAGGUGUAUAAGAAUAGUGGUGGAUUCCCCGCUUGUGAGCUUGAUUAGGGAUGCUUAGGUUGAGGGUAUGAGAUCGGAGAAUUGGAAGUUAGAGAGGAUUAAGGGGGAGAGCGCCCGGUUCGUUCAGGAUAGCCGCGGAUUAUUGUCUCGAUACGGUCGGGUUUGGGUUCCGAUGUCCGGAGGGGUCCGACAGACAGUGAUGGAGGAGGCUCAUAAGUCUCACUUUUCCAUUCACCCGGGGGCCAACAAGAUGUACCGCGAUUUGAGUUUGAGUUAUUGGUGGCCUGGUAUGAAGCGAGAAAUUGCUUGGUAUGUGGAGAGGUGCUUGACCUGUAGGAUGGUCAAGGACGAGCAUCAGAGGCCGCAUGGUAAGCUGUAGCCUCUGGAGAUUCCCAUGUGGAAAUGGGAGCAGAUCACGAUGGACUUCAUUACGAAGUUGCCGAAGACGAUGAAGGGGUUCGAUGCUAUGUGGGUCAUCGUGGAUCGGUUGACCAAGAGUGCCGCCAUACGGGAGAGUUCGUCGGCUGAGAAAUUGGCCGACAUGUACGUCAGCGAGAUUGUCUCUCGCCAUGGGGUCCUAGUCUCCAUUGUCUCCAAUCGGGAUAUCAGGUUUACUUCCUACUUCUGGAAGAAGUUCCAUGAGGAACUAGGUACACGGCUGUAUUUUAGUACGGUGUUCCAUCCGCAGACCUAUGGGCAGAGUGAGCGGAACAUUCAGACCCUAGAGGAUAUGUUGAUGGCGUGCAUCAUUAACUUCGGUGGGAGUUGGGAUUCCCACCUACCGCUUGCAGAGUUCGCCUACAACAACUAUCAUUCCAGUAUUGGCGCCCCACCUUUUGUGCUGUUGUAUGGUCGGAGAUGUAGAACCCCGGUCUGUUGGGGUGAGGUUGGACACAGAGUGAUGGGUCAGACGGAGGUAGUCUUGUAGACUACCAAAAAGAUCCAACAGAUCAGACAGCGGCUGCAAACCGCUCAGAGUCGGCAAAAGAGUUACGUUGAUAGACGCCGAUCGGAUUUAGAGUUUUAGGUUGGUGACAUGGUACUUCUAAAGGUCUCACCCUCGAAGGGUGUGAUCCACUUCAGGAAGAGGGGAAAAUUGGGCCUGUGUUAUAUUGGGCCAUUCAGGAUCAUUGCCAGGGUUGGAAAAGUGGCUUAUAGGCUUGAGCUACCGGAGAAUCUUAGCCGAAUUCAUAGCACGUUCCAUGUUUCGCAAUUGCGAAGUGUAUUAUGGAUCGGGAGGCAGUAUUAUCGUUGGAUGAUAUUCAGGUCGAUGAGCGCCUGUAUUACGUGGAGAGGCCUGUAGCCAUCUUGGAAAGGAAGAAAAAGAUCUUGCGGAACAAAGAAAUACCUUUGGUGAAAGUGCAGUGGGAACAUCAGAGGGGAUCCGAAUGGACAUGGGAGCGGGAGGCGGAAAUGCGAGAGCAUUACCCGGAGUUGUUUAUUCCAGCAGACUUCGAGGGCGAAGUCUAGUUCAAGUGGGGGAGAAUUGUAACGCCCCGAUUCUCAGGUAUUGUUUAAAUAUGAAUUUCUUUGAUUUUGAGGUCUACACAACGAUUUAGUUGUUCUACUCGCCGAGUAGCAGCGGGUUGGGGACGCGUAUUUAGUGGCCUACUCGCCAAGUCCAUCUAGGGACUCUACGAGUAGGACCUGGCAGAUGAAACCCUAAAACCCGAGGUUUGGCACCCUAUUUAAGGAAGCAUAAUCCUCCUUUGGCCUCUUUGCAGUCCAUUGAGAGCUCAGAAAACCCUAAUUUGUGUGGUGCUUCAUUCUUGAGUGUUUAAAGCUUUGGAGAGGAGAUCCUUUGAGAAGAGGAACUUGAAGGACAUAAGGCUAGGGGCAAGGAGGUGUGGGAAAUUAGAAAUCUACCUCAGAUAGCAUCAUUUGGAGGUAUCAAGUCGGCACCUUUACUUCAUUUUCCUUCUAGACCUCUUUUGGUUGAGAUCUAGGGUUUUUAUGGUUUGGUUGGGAUAAUAAUGUGGGAUAUGGGCUAGAUCUGAAGUUGUAACUUCAGAUCUGGACCCUUCUUCGGUUCUAGAUUCAUAAAGCCCCGAAUUUGGUCAUGUAUGAAGCCUCUUUGAGUAUGAAACCCCAUUGUGAGCUUGGAUUUGACAUUUAGAGCCUUUGUAGCUAUGCAUGCACGUAAAGUUUGCAACUUUACAUGAAAAGCAUGCCUUAGAAGCUUGGAUCUGUAAUUUGGAGCCAGUGUAUGGCUUAAAAGAGUUUGUAUGGCUUAAGGACUGAUGGAACUCGACGAGUCGCAAGGUUGACUUGGCGUGUCUCAUGAAGAUGAGCCUGGACCCGACGAGUUGGAUGAACAAAUCGGCGAGUACGAUGAAGAUUGCUGCAGACUCGACGGCUUGGAUGAACAACUCGGCGAUUCGGUUGAGGUUUCCCCAAUUUAUGCAUGCGUGUGUAACCGUCGAGUUGCAAGAAGGAAACUCGAUGAGUGGCCUUAGGGUUUCGAUCAUAAACCAAAGGAACUCGAUGAGUCGCUCCGGUGACUCGACGAGUGGGCAAGUAAUUCAAGGAACUCGACGAGUAACCGAGGGUUCUCGGUGAGUUAGGGUCAACAUGGACUGUUGACCUUGACUAAUGACUUUGACUUUGACCAGGGGUCGACUAGUUGGCUUAUGGAGUAGCCUGUAAGGUUGAGGACUUAUGGGUAUAUUCGUAUUAUAGUAAUAGGUGGUGGAGUCUUUGGCAAGUGAUCCGAGAGUUGGAGUUUAUCUAUCGAGUCGACAUCUGCAAGGUGAGUUACCCUCACUAUAUCAAAAGGGUCUAAGGCACCAAGGCCGACCCUUUCGUUGUUAUGGUUAUGAUAUGAUAUAUGCGGUUAUGAUCUGAUAGGUCGGAAUAAGGAUAUACAGGAUGUUAUGCUUUCAUGAUCCUUAGGGAUUGGCAUGUUAGUGGCCUGCUAUGUCGGUGCUCUAGUUAUGAGAGAUUGCUAUGAUUGAUGAUCAAUGAGAUAGAUAUGUUUGAUGUCUGUAUAUGCCAAUAUAUGUUAGUUAUGCGCACAUGAUUAAUUGCCCAUUGGUUGGGUUGAGGCGGUCCUGCUUUGUGCUGAAGGCCAACAUACCCUAUGAGCGGUCCGAGGAGACUGUAGGCCCACGUGGCGGUCCAUUCAUGCUGAAGGCUCGGUAUAGAUUUAGUUAGACUGUAGGCCUUGUAGGGCGGUCCAGUCAGGUCGAUGGCCCAGUAUGGAUGUUGAUUGAUUGAUUAUUACUGGUAUGGUAUUAUCAGUGUGGUAUUGGUAUUUUGGGGGGUAACUCACUUAGCCCUUGGGCUUACAAUUUUCAGUUAUUGUUUCAGGUACUGCAGGAGAUCAUGGCAAGGCGAAGGCGUGACCGUACCACUCCUCAUCCUUAUGAUUUGGAUUUUAGGACACUCUGAUUGAAUAAUGAUUUGAAAACAUUUUUUUGUAAACAAUACUAUUGGGUUUUAUUUAUGAUUGAAAAAGUUUAAAUUUGGCGUAAAAUUGAUGGAUGUUACAGAUGCCAUUUGGGCUCACCAAUGCUCCAGCCGCGUUCUUAGAUCUCAUGAACCGCGUGUGCAGAAUGAUGACGGAUUGGUCUGUAAUAGUAUUUAUUGACGACAUCUUGGUUUACUACAAGACUCAGGAGCAGCAUGAGGAGCACUUGAGAGAGGUGCUAGAGACACUGAUGAGGGGGAGACUUUUUGCGAUGUUCUCCAAGUGUGAGUUCUAGGUGCGUGAGGUGCGGUUCCCUUGGCACCUCAUCAACCAGAAGGGUAUUGUGGUAGAUCCGGCCAUGAUAGAGUCCGUGAUGUAGUGGGGGAUUCUGUUGUCUCCAUCCGAGAUUCAGAGCUUCCUGGGUUUGGCAGGGUAUUACAAGAGAUUCAUCCAGGAUUUCUCCAAGAUAGCAGUUCCGUUGACCCGACUGACCAAGAAGUCAGUGGUGUUUUGUUGGGGUCCUGAGCAGUAGACAACCUUUGAGAAGCUCAGGCAGCGACUGUGUGAGGCGCCGAUCCUUACCUUGCAGAGGGAGUAGAUGACUUUGUAGUUUACUAUGACACUUUGAUCACAGGUAUGGGAGCAAUGUUGAUGCAACGGGGGCAAGUGAUAGCUUAUGCCUCGAGACAGUUGAAGCCUCACGAGGCUAACUACCCAAUGCAUGAUUUAGAGCUGGGGGUGGUGGUGUUCGCCCUCAAGAUUUGGCGGCACUACCUCUAUGGGGUCUAGUGUACCGUCUACACGGACCACAAGUGUUUGCGGUACCUAAUGGAUUAGCCAAAUCUGAAUAGCGUCGGUGGUUAGACGUGGUAAAGGAUUACGAUUGUGAGAUCCUUUACCACCCAGGCAAGGCCAACGUAGUGGCCGACUCCCUGAGCCACAAGGCGGUAGUGGCUCCGAUUCGAGAUAUCUGUCUGAGGAUGCUAGUGAUUACACCACAGUUGGAGCAGAUUAGGGAGAUACAGGUUGAAGGCCUGAAGGAGGAAUGCCAGAAGUGUGAGAGGAUAGUGGGCCACGUGGCUUCAUUUGACUACGAUAGCCGAGGAUUGUUGACCUUGCAUGGGAGGGUUUGGGUACCGUAAUGGGGCGGAGUACGACAUGUAUUGAUGGAUGAGGCCCACCAGUCGCGGUUCUCCAUCCAUCCAGGGGUGCUGAAGAUGUACAGAGAUCUUCGACCCGAUUACUGGUGGCCCUACAUGAAGCGGGACAUAGCUUGGUACGUGGAGAGAUGCCUGAUAUGCAGGAAGGUCAAGGCGGAGCAUAAGAGGCCACACGGAAAGAUGCAGCCUUUAGACAUUCACGAGUGGAAAUGGGAGGACAUCACCAUGGAUUUCAUCACUAAGCUUCCCAGGACCGCACGUGGGGUCGAUUCAAUAUGGGUUAUUGUAUCGGUUGACCAAGAGUGCUCAUUUCAUACCGAUCUAGGAGAUCAUAUCAGCCAAGAAGCUGGCUGAGAUCUAUGUACGAGAGAUAGUGGCACACCAUGGAGAGCCUGUCUCAGUGGUGUCAGAUCGAGAUGUCCGUUUUACUUCUAGGUUUUGGAAGCGGUUUCACGACGAGAUGGGCACUCGUCUCCAUUUCAGCACUACCUUCCACCCUCAGAUGGAAAGUCAGAGCCAGAGGACGAUUCAGACUCUCAAGGACAUGCUUCGAGCAUGCGUAAUAGAUUUCGUGGCAGUUGGGAUACAUAUCUUCCGUUAGCGGAAUUUUCGUAUAACAACAGCUACCACUCCAGUAUAGACCGGCCUCCCUUCGAGAUGCUUUACAGGAGGAAGUGUAGGACCCCAAUCUGUUAGGGUGAGGUCGGUCAGAGGGUCACGGGGAUUACUGAGGUAGUACUCAAGACCAUAGAGCGGAUACAUCAGAUCCGGAGCAGGCUCCAGACUGCUCAAAGUUGGCAGAAGAGUUACGCUGACAGACGACGCUCAGAAUUGGAGUUUUAAGUGGGUGACAUGGUCCUCCUAAAGGUGUCACCCUGGAAGGAUGUUAUUCGAUUUUGGAAGCGGGGCAAGCUGGGCUCCAAAUUCAUCGGGCGCUUCUGGGUUGUAGCACGGGUGGGAAAGGUGGCAUACCGGUUAGAUCUUCCAGCAGAGCUUGGCCAGAUACACAGUACAUUCCACGUUUCUCAAUGGCGGAGGUGCUUGGUGGAUGAUUCAGUAGUGGUACCUGUAGAGGAUAUUCAGGUUGAUGACAGCCUGAAUUACAUAGAGAGGCCAGUGGCGAUUCUGGAUCGCAAGACGAAGGAGUUGAUAAACAAAAGGGUCGAGCUAGUAAAGGUGUAGUGGCAGUACAUGAAGGGUUCUGAGUGGACAUGAGAGUCCGAGGAGGAAAUGAGGGAGCACUACCCGGAGUUGUUCCCGGAUGCAACAGCAGCAGCAGACUUCGAGGACGAAGUCUGAUUCAAGUAGGGGUGAAUUGUAACACCCGUUCCACAAGGUAUAAUUUGAUUUAUUUAGUUAAUAAUUGUUUUGGACUAAUACUUGGGCAAUGGAUUUAUUUGGAGUGGGCUUAGGAAGUAGGCCGCCUAUAAGCUGUAUGACAGGUGUAACCUGGCAUACGCGGGGCAUAAUGGCCAUUGGAUUCGAGGGACGCGGGUGCAUACGCCCAGCGUACGCGGGCAGAUGCUAAACCCUAGUUUUAGGGUUAAGGACUUAUAAAUACAUCAUUAUAGCCUCCCUUUUUGGCCUCAUUACCUGUCCAUCACCCUCAGAGAAACCCUAACUCAUUCAUACUCUUCCUUGUGUGUGUGUGUUUGACAUUUUUGAGCUUAUUUUGGCAAAGAAGGAGUUAGAAGAAGAAAAGAAAGGUUGGAGAAGAAGCCCUUGAUUACCUUGAGCUCAGGGAUCUGGAUUAAGCUCAUCAUUUGGCAUCAAGAGGAGGUAUAAAGCUUCUAACUUUCCUCCUCAAAGUCUAGAUCUAGGGUUUUGGAAGACUUGGACCUUUUAGGUCCAAAGAUUGGAGCCUGGUCAUGCAACUUCGAUUUUGAGUUUAGGGUUGCCACCCUUGAAGCUCAAUGAGUCCCCUCCCACAGAUUGAUGACCUCUUUGAUCAGUUGCAGGGUGCAUCUUGGUUCUCCAAGAUCGAUCCGAGGUCCGAAUAUCAUCAGGUAAGAGUGAGAGAGGAGGACGUGGAGAAGACCGUGUUCCGGAAUUGUUAUGGGCAUUACGAGUUCGUAGUGAUUCCAUUUGGGCACAACAAUGUGGUUGCAAUAUUUAUGGAUUUGAUGAAUCGGGUGUGUAGGUUAAUGCUCGACCGAUCUGUUACAGUGUUCAUUGAUGAUAUCUUGGUGUAUUCCAAUACCAUAGAGCAGCACGAGAAGCACCUUUGAGAGCUUUUGGCAGUAUUGAGGCGAGAACGAAUGUAUUCCAAGUUCUCAAAGUGUGAGAUUUGGUUACAAGAGAUCCAAUUCUUGGUACAUCUCGUUAACCAAGAUGGGAUUUUGGUCGAUCUAGCCAAGAUCGAGGCUAUGAUGCAAUGGGAGUUUCUGAAAUCUCCCUUAGAGAUCAUGAGUUUCUUGGGUUUGGCGUGAUACUAUCAUAGAUUUAUUCAGAACUUCUCCAAUAUCGCAGUACUCUUCACUUGUCUGACGAGGAAGGGAGUGGAUUUACGAUGGGGCCCUGAGCAAUAUAUUUCUUUUGAGACGAUGUGACAGAGGUUACGUGAGGCCCCAGUGUUGACCCUUCCCAAGGGUGUUGAGGAUUUCGUGGUAUUUUAUGAUGCAUCCUUCACUGGUUUGGGGGAGAUCCUUAUGCAGAGGGGAAAAGUGAUUGCUUAUGCUUCUCGACAGCUGAAGUCGCAUGAGGCGUGAUAUCCUAUUCAUGACUUGGAGUUAGGGCAGUAGUGUUUGCCCUCAAGAUUUGGAGACAUUAUCUUUAUGGGAUCUGUUGUACUAUUUACAUGAAUGUGGUAGUGGAUUCUUUAAGCCUCAAGUCGGUUGGAUCUUUAGUGGGAGACAUGUGUAUGAGGAUAUCUGUUGAUUCUCCACUUUUGGGUUUGAUUAGAGAGGCACAGGCCGAGGGGGUUUGGACGAAGAACUGGAAAUAGGAGAGGAUCAGGGGCGAGAUCAACAGGUUUGUCACCAAUAGUCAGAGGUUGUUGUCCCGGUGCGGUCGGGUUUGGGUUCCCAUUUCUGGUGGGAUCGGGCAGAUAGUGUUGGAGGAGGCUCAUAAGUCUUGCUUUUCUACCAAGAUGUAUCAGUAUUUGAGAUUGAGUUUUUAGUGGCCAUAUAUGAAGAGGGAGAUAGUCUGGUACAUUGAGAGGUGGUUGACAUGUAGAAUGGUCAAGGCCGAGCAUUAGAGGCCGCAUGACAAGCUGAAACCUUUAGAGGUUCCUAUGUGGAAGUGGGAAUAGAUCACCAUGGAUUUUAUCACCAAAUUGACGAAGACUGCCAAGGUUUUUGAUGCUAUAUGCGUAAUCGAGUAUCGAUUGCCUAAGAGUUCCCAAUUUUUGGCCAUCCGGGAGAGCUCUCCGGCUGAAAAGUUGGUCGAUGUAUAUGUUCGAGAAAUUGUUGCUCGUCGUCGCUCGUUGUCGGGUUUGGGUCUCCAUUGUUUAAGACCGAGAUGUUCGGUUCAUUUCCCGAUUAUGGAAGAAGUUCCACGAGGAACUGGGCACAUGCUACAUUUCAGCACUACUUAUCAUCCGCAGACCGACAGUCAGAGUGAGCGAAUCAUCCAGACCCUUAAGGAUAUGUUGCGGACUUGUGUCAUAGAUUUCGGUGGGAGUUGGGGUUCCUACCUACCUCUUGCGGAGUUUUCCUCCAACGAUAGCUAUCACUCUAGCAUUGGUGCCCCGCCUUUUGAGCUGGUCGGAGAUAUCGUACCCCAAUAUCAUGGGGAGAGGUUGGUCACAGGGUCAUGGGAAGGACCGAAGUAGUCCUUUAGACCACAGAGCUUAUUCUAUUGAUCAGGUAGAGACUAUAGACUGCUCAGAAUUGACAGAAGAGUUAUGUUGACUGACAUCGAGCAGAGUUGGAAUUUCAGGUCGGUGAUAUGGUAUUACUAAAGGUCUCACCUUGGAAGGGUAUGAUACGAUUCAGGAAGAGGGUGAAUUUCAAGUCGGUGAUAUUGGACCUUUUCGGGUGAUUACCAGGGUGGGUAGGGUGACCUACCAGUUGGAUUUGUCGAGUGAGCUCAAUCAGAUCCACAACACUUACCAUGUGUCUCAGUUGUGCAAUUGUAUGUUGGACGGUGAGGCGGUGUUCCCUUUGGAUGAUAUUCAGGUCGAUCAGCGCUUGAAUUAUAUUGAGAGGUCGGUGGCAAUUUUGGAGAGAAAGAUGUGAUGGGUUAUGAGCAUUCUAACACCCCUAAGUGUACAUGCAACCCUAGAAAACCUUGGAUCUAUGUUUGUCUAAAAUACAUGCAAAAUAUGAUUUCCAAGGUUCAUAAUCCUAUCUAGCAUACAUGGGGAACUUUUAACAUAAAAGAUGGCUAGAAUUACCUACCUUGUAGUUGAUUUGAUUCCUUGAAAACCUUGAGAGCCUAACACCCCAAGUGUGAUGCCUCAAAUCUUUCACACAACACCAAGUGCUUUGGAAUAACUUUGAGAGAAUGUAGAACACUUCAAAAAUGGCCUAGCCCUCUUCUUUUCUUAGUGUAACCGAUUUCAGAUGAUAUCAUGUUCUUUAUAUAGUGUGUUACACGUAGGGUUACACCAUGUAAACCCUAAUGUAACAUAACUCUUCAUUCCCAUGACCCAUGGGUUUAAACCUCCAUGGAACAUCCUUUGGGUCUUAGCCCAACUUGAUAAUCCAUGGAGCCUUUAGCCCACUAUACAAGUUAUGGAUGAUUUAAAUAAUCAAACCAUAUAUUUAAUUAGUCAUCUUUUGAUCACUUAAUUUAUUCUAAAUUAAUUCUUGAUCAAUACUAAUUAAAUAAUAUUAUUAAUAUAUUAGAACUUAUAAUAUAUUAAUAAACCAUAAGUGUUAUUUCUCUCAUUCUAGUUUAUCUAAAUGCAUGAUGCCAUGCAACCCAAAUGGACCAUGCCGGGUCAUGUCAAGUACUUACCAAAUAUAGUUAUGGACUUAGACACCUUAUCCAACAGUCUCCCACUUGGAUAAGUCUAAUAACUAUAACUGCAAGUAUGACUUCAGGAACCGAUCAACAAUCAUGGCUCUUUCAAGGUCUCUCAUAACUGAGAAGAUGAUGUUACACCAUUUAAGAUAAGUGAUCAUAUAAUCCUAUGUUCUAGAUAUCAGCCGGACAAAUACAUGGAACAAUGUCUUACUUAUUGUCCAACAGUUUGUUUCACGAUUUCCGAUUUGUUUGGCAUAGAACUAAAUUGAACACGUCAAUUCGGUUCUGACUAGGCCCAGUACAUAGGUCAAAACAAAAUCAUCGAGGGGCCCAGAUAUCGCUUCUAAUCCAAGAAGGAACAUAUAAACUUCAACUCAUAUGGUUGUUCUACUACUUGUUGAAUCACACCCAAAAGUACAUUUUAUAACAUUGAGUUACCAAUGCGGUUUCGCACGAUCAAUGCAUAACCAACUCAUAGGCAACAAGUCAUAUCUCUAGGUUUGAAGACUUAUAUGAUAUUACCAUCUCACGAUCACUCGAGAUAAAUUCCAUGAAGUGAUACCAGUGAGCGUGGGUUGAAUCCAAUACUUAGAACUUGUGAGCACUCAUGAGUGUUGUAGCCAUGUCCAACAACUUAGACCUCUGCAACCAACUCAUGACACUCUUGAUUCAUACCUACUUCCAACAUGUGACCGACUGUGGAGAAUUCGAAUAAUAUGAUAUACCAAACAUAAUUUUUCUAGAAGUCAAAACAUGAAAAAGAAAUAUAUUAAUGGUUGACAAAAGAUAACAACACUUUACUCAUAAAUAAACACAUCUUUUAUUCAUCAUCAAAUGUCAAUUACACUUUACAAAUUUCAAAAUUAUCUAACUACUAAAACUAAUAUCAUCCUUUAGCCCUAUGCUCCGAGCAUGCUGGAGAUCCUUAACCCGACUCAGUCCCUUCGUGAGGCGUUUUGCUGGGUUCUCAUCCGAUGAUACCCUCUUUGCCACGAGGAGUCCUUAUUUUAUUCGAUGUCUGAUGAAAUGGUAUUUUCUGUCGAUGUGUCUGGAUCUCCUAUGAUCCAUUGGUUCCUUGGCUAAGGCAACAACACUUUCACUGUCACCGAAAAUUUCCAUUGCCUCCUUUAUAGCUGGUACAACUCCAAGGUCUCUAAUGAAGUUCUUCAGCCAUAUUGCCUCCUUUGCUGCCUCACUUGCUGCUAUAUACUCUGAUUUGUAUGUUGAAUUAGCCACUGUCUCCUGCUUGGAACUCUUCCAAGUGAUUGCUCCUUUGUUUAAGGUAAUGACCCAGCCUGACUGAGAGCGGAAAUUAUCCCUAUCAGUUUGAAAACUAGCAUCACCAUACCCUACAACUCUCAAGUCAUCACUCCCACCGAGGGUAAGGACCCAAUCCUUAGUCCUCCGCAGGUACUUGAGGAUAUUCUUUACCACAAUCCAGUGAGCCUUGCCAGGGUUCCCCUGAUAUCUGCUGACCAUGCUCAAGGCAAAGGCUACAUCAGGAUGAGUGUAGGUCAUAACAUAAAUGAUCGAGCCUACUGCUGAAGCAUAAGGUACUCGACUCAUUUAUGCUAUCUCAGCCUCAGUACUCGGGCUCUGAGUUUUACUCAGUCUGGCGUUACUCUGGAUGGGUAACUCUCCUUUCUUGGAAUCUUGCAUGCUGAACCUUUUCAGCACCUUAUCCAAGUAGGUACUCUGACUAAGUCUAAUUAGUCUUUUACUCCGGUCUCUCAGAUGCCUUAUCCAUAGAAUAUAGGCAGCGUCUCCUAGGUCUUUCAUAGAGAAACACUUCCUAAGCCAGGACUUCACUUCCUGCAAGGUUGGGAUGUCAUUUCCUAUAAGUAGUAUGUCAUCCAAAUACAGUACCAAAAAGCUAACUAUACUCCUACUAGCCUUGACAUAGACACAAGAUUCAUCUUCACUCCUCGAAAAACCAAAAUCUUUGACUUUCUCAUCGAAGGAAAGAUUCCAUCUGCGGGGUGCCUGUUUCAAUCCAUAAAUGAAUUUCUCGAGCUUACACACUCUAUUAGGGUAUUCUGUACUAACAAAACCCUCUGGCUGACUUAUGUAAACAUCCUCAGCCAGUCUUCCAUUAAGGAAGGCGGUUUUGACAUCCAUUUGCCAUAUCUUAUAAUCAUGAAAUGCAGCAAUGGCUAACAGAACCCUAAUGGACUCAAUCUUUGCUACUGGUGAAAAGGUCUCAUCAUAAUCAACUCCUGGAGUUUGAGAAAAGCCCUUUGCAAUCUGUCGCGCCUUAUAUGUGUGUACAUUACCAUCCAUGUCGGUCUUCUUCUUGAAGAUCCACUUGCACCCAACUGUUUUACGACCUGGUACAUUGUCAACCAAAUUCCAAACUUGAUUGUCAUACAUGGACUGUAUCUCGUUGUUCAUUGCCUCUUUCCAUUUAGCAGACUCAGGGCUUGCCAUGGCUUCUGCGUAGCGGUUUGGUUCAUCCAGACUUACCAAUGUCUCAUCACUGAUAAGUGUCUCACCUUCCGCAGUAAUAUGGAAACCAUAGUAGUGCUCAGGUGCAUUUGAUGAGAAUUGUAAUCGAGAUUUAGAAAGCAAUCAUGAUUAUAUGAAUGAAAGUAAGAACACAAGGAGUAAAUAUUAAUCAGAUCUUAUAUUGAUGAAGAAACUGAUUACAAACUUAAGCAGAGAAAAAUGUGAGACUAACAAAUCACUCGUUGAAUCAAUCGUCUCUCUACUUCUAAACUCAGUCCCUAUUUAUAGGAAACAUGAGUGUACAAAACAUAUACUAAGUCCUUAACAAUACGCUUCGCACAAAUGAAGACUUAGUAAAAUAACUAACAUGUGAAACAGACACUUCGACUUUUACAAUUUCUAGACUCUACAUUCUCCCCCUUUGUAAACAGUUGAAGCUAUUCAGUUUGUGAGAUUCUGAACAGCUAAGUGCAUUGUUCUUCGGAUUUCAGAAUACCAAGUGAUGAUCUUUUUAAGCUCCUUCGUGUCUCCUUCAUUAUUCUUUGUGCAAUUAUUCAUACGAACAAUGAAAUUCGUAUAUUGCGAAGUGGUGUAUCUUUCAAUCUCAGAGACUUGAAACAAGAAUCUUUUAGGCUUCCCCUUGGUGUCUUUGCCUACGAAAACCAUGCCAAAAGGUUUAAGGCAUAUCUCUCCGUUUGCAUACUUCUUCAAUUCUCUUUGAGGCAAUGUUGACUCCCAAGAAACUGUAACUUUUCUUCCAAGGCCUGAUGCGAGUUCUUCAUCACUUAAUGCCAAGCAAUCAUAGUAGUUAUCUAUGAAUAUCUUGAUAUGUGCAAAACCAAAUCUGAACACAUCAGUAUCAUAUCCUUUGAGCUUGUUUUCUUUCAUGUCUUUCAGGAUAAGUGCCACUUGAAUGAGAUCAUUUAGAUUCAUUAAGGGAAAGUCAGCAAUGGUAAAAUCAAAAGCCUUGUUAUCUGCACGGACAACAAAGUAUCGAAAGUUUUGAAGUAUGUUCUCGAACAUUACAUCCUUCUUGAUAGUUAGUACUUUCUUUAUCUUCAUCAUAGACCAAACUUCCUCUUGAUCCUUCGCAAGUACAUCAUGAAAUCUAAUUUUCAUGUAGGUGUAUUCAUCAGCAUUUUCAAACUUUUCACUGAUAUUGUACUGCGUUCUGAUAAACAUCAUUUCGUUUAUCAGAAAGUCAAGUUGGCUUCUGUCUGAAUUCGCAACAUCAUAACUUCUUCUAGGCUUUUUCUCAAAAUCAUACAAAUGAUUUCCCAAGACUUUGGAUUCGAUAGUUUCAAAUAAGUACAACUUUGCAGGAUCACCCUUGUUUAAAGUUGGUGGAUCAUUUGCUCUUUGCCUUAGAAUGCUCUGAAUUUGUCUUUGUUUUUUCUUUUGCAUCUUCAGCCUCUGCUUUCUUUUCUUCUUUCGACUUUUCAUAAACUACCUCUUUUCCUUUUCCAGUAUUCACUGUUUGAGGUUUCGUACUUGAACUCCCUCCUUCUGUUGAACCAAUUAUAAUUCCUUUAGAAAUUGGCUUUGUAAUUGGCUUUGUUGUUACUAUUGUUGAAGGAAUUGGUUUUGUGAGUAUAGGCAAAGAUGUUUUAAGCUGAGUCGAAUGUAUCUUUCCAAUAGUUUUCGCAUCAUCCCCUUUACUUCCUUUUCUUUCUCCCCCUUGCACCCCUGUGAAAACAGGUGGGGCAUUCUUUGGUAAAACGGAAGUAAAAUUUGUAAUCGGGGCCAAUGCCUUCUGAAUAGCUUGCUCCAAAGUGUUGAAUUUAAGCGUUAAAAAUUCCGGAGUAAGAAUUCAUUGUUGAGAAGGAUUUGAAACACAACUCUUUAAUUCAGUCAUCAACUGAAUUAAUUUUGCGAACUGCUCCUUAUCUUCUUUGUGCUUGGCUUCGAUAAUUGGAGCAGAUGAUUGAUAAUCAGUAGCAAUCUUGGUAAGUGCUUCAGCAACAACAUCAACACAUUUUCGCACGUCCAAGUUUUGAGAAUUAAGCUCUUAAAUCUCUUUUGCAAUCUCCUUCUUUAACUCCUCAACCUUGAAGUUGAUAUCUUCUCGGACCUUCUUCACAUCUUGUACAAAAAGAACAUGUCGUUCUUUUGUAAUAAUUGUCAGAUCUCUUACAACACUAUCAAAAGAUUUCCCUUGAGCUUGAAUGUGAAGCUCAUUAUUCUUAUCAGAAGCAUCAACUUUCACAGUUAUUCUUUUCUCUGCAGCUUUGAUCAUUGUUUCAACCUCCGAACCCGAUACAGAAGACUUUGUACCAGAAUCAUCUUGUGAUUGAAUAAAUGCAUUCAACUUUCGAUUCAGGAUUUUAAAUUGCUUACCUGACAUAAGCAUAUGAUCAGGGAUUUCCUCCUCCUUUGAAUCAAAGUGUAAAGCUUCAAAUGUUCCUCCAAAACCUCCUCCUUCGGUUUCUUCAUCAGACUGAGCUUGCGAAGAUAUAGGUUAUGGUGUUUCAAGGGAUUGGGAUGGAAACAAUGUAGUGAAGGGAUGUUGUAAAGGAUGAUCAAAGAUGGAUGAUGUGGUUAUAUUUGUAUUCAGGAGAAGAAAUGGUGGUAAUGAAGUAGAUAAACUCUCAGAUGAGAUGGGUAAAGAAGUAGAUAAAAUGAUUGGCAUUGUAAGUUCAACACUCGUGAUAGGUGUCCCCGUAUCAGAUACGUUAACAACCAUAUCAGAAGUAGGUACCUCCUCAUGAACUGAUUUGGUAGUGACUACUUUGAGUAGAAUAGUUGUGGUAGUGGAAAUUUGCGAAGUAAUGGGAAGAGAGAUGUUUACCAUUGGUGAAGUUGAAACAGGUGGAGUCCUAGGAACCACUUCAUCAUCUGAUGACUCAUUGCGAAUAAUCAUCUUCCUUUUCUUGUACAGCUUCUUAGUGAUGUGCUUCGCAACAUCUUGAGCUCUUCUUUUCUUUGACAUAGGAGAAAUAGGAGCCGAAAUUUCUCUAAACAUAGCCCCCUUACUACUCACUUAAGUUUUGCGAAUAGUAGGAGAGGUAGUCUUCUUAUGUGACAACUUGCGAAGCUUUUUUAAGACCCUGACUUAGUCGGUAUGAUCUCCUUCUCAAGUUUGGUAGAAGACUCAACUUUCUCAACCUCUUCAGCCUUUGAUACUUUUGGAGAUUCGGGUUUUUCCUCCUUUUUAGUCUUCUUCUUCUUCUUGGAUGACUCACCACAGAAUUCAAGUAGCACUCCAGUUUGCACAUUAGGAUCAAAAGUCUUCAUGUAUCGAAUUAACACCUUGUAAAGAGAGGACACUUUGCAAAGCAUUGCAUCAAGAAUUCUUGCAACACUUGUGAAGAUAUUCACAUCAUCUUCAACAACUUUGGGAAAUUGGUACAAAGAAAACUCUGCGACAUCUCCUUCUUCAGGAACUUGAAUUCCUUCUUUUGCAUAUACCUUUUCCAAAAUCAAACUCCAGUACCUUGCACAAGAAAUCCCUUUAUCAACACUGGUGUUUUCUAAGCUUUUGUUGAACUCCUUCCAAAGCUGAGUUCCAUAAUCGACACUUAAGAUCGUAGUAAAGUCCCAUAACCAUUGCAUAAACCUCCAUUCUUCCCCUGUCUAGACCAACACUCCUUCCGGUCAAACAUCUUAGAAAGAUACCAAACAAGAAGUUCCAUAUACAUGGUAAGCUUGAUUUCCUGAAAUCACUUAUCUUUUCAAGAGUGGGUUGAUGUCCCAUCUCAUUGAACAUGAAGAUAAUAUGUGAGUUUGUUGGCUUAAAGAACGGUGGGUUAUGAGGAAUGUUCAAGAAGUCGAUGAACAUGUUCUUUUUAAGACGAAUCCUCUUGUUAUUCACCAGAUUGAAAGUUAUUACAUUUGUUGCAUAGUUGUAUGACGCAGUUGAUGCCGCCAUUGACAACCAAGUCAUAGGAACAAAGAAGGAAUUGAACAUAACAAUUGAUAAUGCUGAUCUUUUUAGUGCAACGAUCAACAUCUUCAAUUCUUCUGGAUAAGAUGAGACAUUAGGAUCAACUUGGUAAUUUGUGCUUUGAAUCUUCAUGAGGGACUGUGAGAUAACUUCUUCUGUGUUGGAUUGAGUAGUAGCCAUUGCUAAUCUGAGAAAUUUCUUGAAAGAAAGAUUAGGACUUUUUGUUCGUCUGAAAAUUUUGAAUCGCGUAAUGAUUAUCAGAAAAGAUUAUCCCUUUUAUAUGUUAAUCUCAAAGAUGAACCGUUUCCAAAAAUAGAGUAAGCUACGUGUUCCUGGAAACUUGCAAUCAAUAGCCGUUGUAAUGAUCAUUCCCCAUAAAGUGCCUUGAAACUAGGGCCAACGGUUACUGGAAACUGUUCAUAAGUACAGUUGUGUGAAUGAAGACGCUUCAGUAUCGAGGUUGGGCUCUUUCGUUCAUGGGAUUUUAAACGAAGUCAUUUACCAGUCUUGCGAAAUUGUCAGCCUAAGUUGGUAUUACUUAGAACCUCGAGGAUUUCGUGAGUGCAUGUGAUUCAAAGAAAUGAGAUAAGAAUCAAGUUAAAAAAAGAGUAAAUUACACGGAUGGUCCCUGUGGUUUGGGAUAAUUUGCACGUUUGGUACCUAACUUAUUUUUUUAACUCGGACCAUCCUUAUACUUUGGUUUUAUUUCGGAUAUAGUCCCUUGCAGAUCUGAAAUGACUAUUAUACCCUUAAAGCUUAUUUUAAUUUUUUAGUCUAUUUAAAUUUAUUAUUUAUAUUUAUAUUAAUAUAAUUAUAGUUAAAAAGGGACCAUUUAAAUCCACUUUCUUUCACUGUUGCUCCUUACCGUCACUUUCAACCUAAACAUAGACACCAUGAAAAACUGAUCACCCAUUUGCCGUCACCAGUGUCUAUUUCGUUGGAAACGUUUCACUAAUUUAGCCGCCGAAGACCUCUCGACCAUCAUCCAUCCUCCUAAACAAUCCACCGGACCAUACGACAAUCAUCUGUCUCCCUUUAACUCUCAACCAACAACACCAGACUAAGAGAAAAUCGUUGCCACUCACCCUCAUGAGACCUCAUCGGCAACCUCUAUGUCCCCCUCUUUCAGAUCGCCAUCAGAAGAAAGUAACUGUUAGAUCUCUUCAUCUCCCCCUUUAUAGAUUCCACCGAAAAAAACGAAGCUUUAGAUCUCCAAAAAACAAACCGAAUGGUUCAGGUCUACCAAAAAAAACGAAGCAAGUUACCAAAGAAAAUGGCGCAGAUCACCAGAGAAGAGAACACCGCAGAUUGCUGGAAAAAAACGAAGCAACUGAGUUCACACACCUGCAACUUUUUUUCUUAAUGGAAAUCUCAUUAGAAAUCAUUGUGUUUAGGCAUUUAGGGGAAAUGUGGAGAUUGUAAAAAAUCUAGAAUCCAAAAAACCGAAAUCGUGGCAAGUUGAAUCGUUCAAGGAUUCCUUCCUGUUCUAUUGUUCUUAGCCUUUGAUUUUGAUUAAAGGAUUCCUUCCUGUUAUAAUUUUGAUUGCAUAACAGGUCUCUUUUUUUUUUUCUGAUUUUGAUGGAUUGGAUAAUUCCUUUCGGUUCAUGUUUUUUUGGUGGUUUAAUGUAUUGAAUUGUUAUGCAAAGACGAAGAUUGAUAGGUUGCAGGUAAACAUGAAUGGGUUGGCAGGGAAGGUAAGAAAUCCUGUAGAGAAGAGGAUGAGGGUGAAGGAUUGGAGGGAGGUCAGGUAUGGGCGAGGGUGAUGGGCUCACAUCUAAAACAAUUUUUUUACAAUUUUAUUUAACAAGUUAAUAAAAAACAAUUAAAAUAAUAAGUAAGGGUAUAUUGGUCAUUUUAAGUUGGUUAGGGACCAAACGCAUAACAAAAUAAUACUAUAGGGACGGUCCGAGUUAAAAAAAUAAGUUAGGGACCAAACGUGCAAAUUACCUUAAACCAUAAGGACCAUCCAUAUAAUUUACUCUAAACUUUUUUUUUGAAUCCUGUGAUGCCAAAAUUUAUUGACACAAAGCAGUAAAACCUCAGGCAAAGGUUACUUCAUUAAUUACCAAGAGAGGUAAUUAAAUGCUUUCGCAUUUUCCCGUGACAUACAAUCGAAUACUUAUAGAAAAGUAUCGAAGGGCUUCUUUUAUAGGAUUAAUAUGGUGGUUUGUGAAUUUCGUUACAUAUCAUCCUAAACAUAAGGUGAGUAAUUGUAACCGAAAUUACUUGUUUGAACAUUGUGUUCAAGGACAAGAUUGCUUUGGAUUAUUUUGAAAAGUGACAAGAAUUUCAGAUAUAUACUCACACGGAAAGUAUAUUCAAAAAAAUUUUAAGUGUUGGACCCUGUUGGGAAACAAACUUCGUGGGUUUCGAAAAUUUGAUCAGGAUCACUCAUAAGAAUGAAUAUAAUUUGGAGUAUAUGAAAUAUUAGGUACUGAAACAAUUGUUUCGUAAAAAUCUGGAACGUAGUUCCCCUUCAAUUCCUUAAUUUUUGAAGUUUGUGGGUUUUACUUAUUUCACGGACUCAUGAAACAAGAUCAUUAACACAGAAUGAUGACAUGUCUAAAUCACGACUGGUUUGAUCAGGUCACCUCAUGGACAUGUGACUUUGUGUGUGUAUCGUAUUAAGAAAUUUUGUGAUGAAAAAGAUUGGUUAUAAGAUCGAAUGUACCUCUGUUAUUUAUGGACCAAACAGAAAACUCUUUACUCAUUUGAGAAGAGUAAGGUAGCUCUUUUGACUAAUGCGAAUAUAAGCCUGAUUGGGAAGAAAUUUUCAUAUGAUAAUUUCAUUAAGGCUUUUGUCUCUCACACAUAGAGUCAUAUGAGGCUUGGGUCAACAUGCUGCAGCAUGCUUCUAGGGACAUCCUAACUAGUACAAAGUUGAAAGAAAUGAUACAUUCCCAUAGAAACAUAAGCAUGACCUCUUCGCAUUUUGCUCUUGACUAAUACUGAAAACACACAAAACUUAAAGAACAAAGAAAAAAAAUAUUUUUGUGAUUUUGUAUUUCUCAAAAAUGAAAGACAAAACAAAAGAAAAUCUUUUUGUUGUUUUUGAAUUUUUUUUAAAAAAAAUAGACAAACAAAUGAAAAUAUUUUUGGUUUUUCUUGUUUUUCGCAAAGCAGAAAAGAACAAAAUUAAAUUGAACCUCAGUUACCAAAUGUGCGAAUGCGAAGCCUCUUAACGCACAAUAACUUCUGAAUGAUUCUGAUUCAGAGCUGCUGAAUGGACCUUUCAUUCUUGAGUUAUUGAUUUUGGCAAUGAAUUCGCAUCGAUCAUUCCAAAACCUGCUAAAAUUCUCACAAAUGAUUUUUCAUCAAGAGGUUUAGUAAAAAUAUCAGCAAGUUGUUCAGUGGUUUUAACAAAAUGUAUUUCGAUAUUCCCAUCUUCCACAUGAUCUUUGAUAAAAUGAUAUCGAAGAGCAAUAUGUUUUGUCUUUGAAUGUUGUACUGGAUUAUGACAAAUGCGAAUUGCACUUUGAGAAUCACAAUACAAGGGAAUAUUUUUCAUAUUUAUUGCAUAAUCACGAAGUUGACUCUGAAGCCAAAUGAUUUGCGAAGUGCAAGCAGCAGCUGAAAUAUAUUCAGCUUCAGUAGUUGAUAUAACAACACAAGUUUGCUUCUUUGACUGCCAACUCACCAAUUUUCCAUCCAAUAGUUGACAAGCACCACUUGUACUUUUCCUAUCCAAAGUACAUCCUCCUAGAUCUGAAUCUGAAAAAGCUUGAAUGAAGAAUCCAGAUUUCGAAGGAUACCAAAGUCCUAACGAAAUUGUACCCUUAAGAUAGCGAAAAAUAUUUUUCACUGCAGUCAAAUGAGGUUCUCUGGGAUUAGCUUGAUAUCUAGCACAAUUACAAACCGAAAACAUAAUAUCAGGUCUACUUGCAGUUAAGUACAAUAAAGACCCUAUCAUGCUUCGAUAAAGUGUUAAAUCAACAGCAGGAGUAUCUAACGAAGAAGUUAGUCUUGUUCCUACUGCCAUUGGUACUCUGAGUUUCGUGCUAUUAGACAUUCCAAACUUUUCAAGCAAAUUCUUCGUAUAUUUUUCUUGAUUGAUUAAGAUUCCAUCCCUGUUCUGUCUUAUGUUUAAGCCAAGAAAAUUAUUAAUUUUUCCCAUCAUGCUCAUUUCAAACUGACUUUUCAUUAGAUUUUCAAAUUCAAUUGACAAUGCUGGAUCAGUUGAGCCAAAGAUAAUAUCAUCAACAUAAAUUUGAACAAGCAUAAGAUGAUUCCCAACUUUCUUGCGAAAUAAUGUGGGGUCAAUUGAUCCUUGUUUAAAUUUAGAUUGUUUCAAAAAAUUUGUAAGUGUUGCGUACCAGGCUCUUGGUGCUUGUUUUAACCCAUAUACUGCUUUGUCUAGUAUGUAGACAUGAUCAGGAUGUUCCUCAUUUAUAAAUCCUGGUGGUUGUUCAACAUAAACUAUUUCUUCUAGUUCUCCGUUUAAGAAUGCACACUUAACAUCCAUUUGAAUAACAUUGAAGUCUUUGUGAGCUGUAUAAGGUAAAAAUAUGCGAACUGCUUCGAGUCUUGCGACAGGAGAAAAUGUUUCUUCAUAGUCUAUUCCUUCUUGUUUCAAAUAGCCUUUAACAACUAGUCUAGCUUUAUUUCGAAUAAUAUUGCCAUCUUUGUCGGUUUUAUUUUUAAAAAUCCAUUUUAAUCCGACAAUCGAAACAUCAGAAGGUUUAGGAAUUAAUCUCCAAACCUUAUUUCGUUCAAAUUCAGCCAGUUCAGAUUGCAUAGCAACAACCCAAUCUGAGUGUUCCAUAGCAUUCUUUACUGUCUUUGGCUCUAUUUUCGAAAUAAAAACAUUAAACAUACAUAAUUCUUGGUUCGCAUUCAGUACCUCAUUUUUCGCACGAAUUUGAGCUCUUGUCAACACACCAUCUUGUGGAUUCCCAAUCACCUGUUCUUUAGGAUGAUUCCUUGUCUAUUUCCCAAGUGGUGCAAAAUCAGGAUUGAAUUCCAUUGGUGCAUCUUCGUACAUAUCUUCAUUUUCAGAUCCUGCAAUAGAAAAAUUAUCAUUUAAUUCAUGAAAUUCAUCAUUUUCAUCAAGAUUAAUUGUCUAUGUUUCAUCAUGCUCCCUCUCAUCAUGAUGUUCAUCUUGAUGCUCCCUCUCAAAAUGAUGUUUAUGUUGAUCAUUUAAAGGUAAUUGCAAAUGCUCCCCCUCAACUUGAUUACUCAUAAUCUCAUUCUCCCCCUCGAAAGUUUUCUCUCCCUGUAUAUUUGUGGUCGUAUGCUCCCUCUCCAUAUGAACUUUAGGCACACUUUUGCAAGAUAUUGAAGUCGUAGUAAGUGUUGAAUCAUCAGUAUGUUUUGAGAAUUCUGAUGUUUGAUUAUCAGGAGCAUGAACUUCCGCAUCAAUUGCCCUGUCAGGAAUUCGGAAAAUUAAGUCAUAAUCAAAAUCAUUAAUAUCUGAAUUUUCAAUUUGGGUAUCUGAAUCAACAAGAAUUGAUUUAUUUUCAAAUUUACUAUCUGUUUGUUUAAGAUAGUAAUCAUCAAAGGUUAAGUUGAAAGUUUCUUCAACUUUUCUUGUUCGCUUGUUUAACACCCUGUAUGCAACUGAAUUUUGCGAAUAUCCUAAGAAUAUGCCUUCAUCAGCUUUCGCUUGGAACUUGGUCAAAUUAUCUUUUAGAUUCAUUAUAAAACACCUGCAACCAAAAACAUGAAAAAAUUUUACAUUAGGUUUUCGAUUGUUGAAUAUUUCAUAUGGAGUGAUAUUGAAUCUUCGAUGAAUGAAUGAACGAUUCUGAGUAAAACAUGCAUUCGACACAGCUUCAUCCCAAAGAUAUUGAGGUAAGUUCGCAUAUGUUAGCAUGGUCCUUGCUGCUUCACAUAGAGACCUAUUUCUUCUUUCAACAACACCAUUUUGUUGUGGAGUAUAUGGUGAUGAGAAAUUAUGCGAAAUGCCUUUGGCUGUGAGAAAUGAAUCUAGCGUUUGAUUUUUAAACUCGAAACCAUUGUCACUUUUAAUUCUGCGAACAUGCUUUUUAAGACUCAUCUCAAUCUUUUUGAUAAAAUCAAUCAUCGUCUAAGCAACUUCGGAUUUUAACCUGAGAAAGAAUACCCAUGUAAAUCGAGAAAAAUCAUCAACAAUAACUAAAAUGUACCGCUUUUUAUUGAUUGUAGCAACAGUCGACGGUCCACAUAAGUCAAUAUGAAGAAGUUCCAAUGGUUCCACGAUUUUUGAAUCUAUCACAAUUGGAUGACCUUUUCUAUGUUGUUUUCCUUGUUCGCAAGCUGCACACAAAGUAUCAUUGUCAAAUUUCAGUACAGGUAAACCUCUAACCAAAUCUUCAGUGAUAAGCUUGUUAAUAUUGCGAAAGUUCAAAUGAGACAAUCUUUUAUGCCAAAGCCAGCUAAUAUCAUUAGAGGCCUUUGACAAUAGAUAUACUGCAGGUUUGCCCACAAUCGGUUUGAUGUCUAGUGUGAACAUGUCUCCAUAUCUUUUGGAUUUGAGAAGUACUUCAUUUGUCUCUACUUUUGAAAUUAUACUUCCUUCUUCAUUGAACACAACCUGAUUUCCAGUACCCANGUUGCGAAAACUAAUAAAGUUAUGUUGAAGACCUUCGACAUAAGCAACCCGGUUAACUGUGAAUUGUCCAUUUGUGACUUUUCCAUACCCUUUCACUUGACACUUGUGAUUGUUUCCAAAUUUGACUACUCCAACAUUUUCCAAGCUUCUAUAAAUUCGCAAGUUUUCCAUUCUUCCAGUCAUGUGACGAGAACAACCACCAUCAAUAUACCAUUUCACAUCAUAUUACUCGUUACAUAUCACCUGCAUUUAAUGAAAGAAUUUAGGAAUCCAAGACUUAUUGGGUCCUUCAUUAGUAGCAUUGAACAAAUUCUUUGAAUUUAAAAACCACGUUUUCACUUUGUCUGUUACACUAUCGAUUAGAUCAACAUCAUCAGAUCUAGAUAUUGAAAUAUAGUUGUUUGAUAGUUUUGGAUUUCUAUUGACUUUCACCUCAUCCUUCACAACCUUCGCAACUUUCACAACUGGUUUCCACUUUUGUACUGGAACUUGCGAAUCAUGAGAUGAUGAACUACUAGUAGAAGACUCAUUCACAAACUUGUCAAAUGCAGUCUUUAUCUGUUGCUUUAAAAACUUUCCAUUUUGAUAUUGUUUUCCUUUCCCUUCAAGCCAAUUGUUGAUCGUGUAUACAUCAGAUUUUCCUUUUGUAUAUGAAACUUUAGUCGGUUUUGUGAUGGAAGGAUUUGGAAAAUUUGGUUGUUUGGGUGAGAAUUUUGGUUUUGUUUGAGUUUUGACAUUCAAAGUUGGUGAAUUAUUCGUUAAUUUUCUAACAUUUUGAAAUUUUACGAUCAUUCGAACAGAUUCAUCUUUACUUUUCAUUGAAAUUUUGUCAACAGAAUAUAUUGGUUUGUGAAAACUUGUAUCCUUUUGUUUGUUUGUUCUCUGAAAUGUUGAUGGUUUUGUUCUAAGAAUUUGUGCUUGCGCAACUUUAGGUUUAUCAUUAGACACAACUUGCCAAAAGAUUGCUUUUCUUGCUUUUCUUUUUGAAACAUUGUUUUCUUUUGAAUACUUUCCAACCAUCAACUUAAAUUCAUGAGAAUUCAAUUUCACUUCCAUCUUUAGUUUUUCAACUUUUUCAAAAACUUUGUUUUCUUUUUCACUUUUAACCAUCCAUUUUUGUGAUGAUUUAUUAAUUUGAAAAACAUAAUAGUUUUGAGUUAAAUUGUUUUCUACCGUAUUUUGAUUUGCAAAGAAAUCUUUGGUGGUUGACCUUUUGUUGUCAUUUUCAACCAUUUUUUUGAAUUCAGGCUUGAUUUUCUCAACAUUUCCAGUUGUGAAGAAGACUUGAUUUGGAAAAAUCGUGUUAUCAGUGCAUGUAAAAUUCGGAUAAACCACAGUGUUGGUUUCCAAAUAAUGUGCACCUUUGUCAUUAAGAACUUUGUCGAAUUCUUUUGUAUCACCAAACACUUGAUUAACAACAACACGUUGAGGUGAUUCAUGAGAAUCUUUCACUUUUUCUUCGUCUUUAUCAGUGUCAUCUGACUUACAGCUUUCAACUUCCACAGUGUCAAAGUGACAAGUUUGCGAAGUAGAGGGUUUAUCAUUUUCAUCGUUUACUAUCGAAUCAACUAUAAUUUUUUACCUUUGACCUUAGAUGUUAUACUAAUGAUAGACAGUUGAGAACAAUCAACCUCUUCUUCCUCUUCGAUCUCACUGAUUUCACUCACAUUAUCUGAAUUGUCAUCGACAUCAGCAUAAUUGUGUUGAGAAUCAAGAGUUGAAGUUUCAGUUUUCUAUAAGAUUUUCACUUUCAUUGUCAAACUUUCAUUAACAAUACUAACCAAUUCAUCCGCAUUCAAAAAUUCAUCAAUUUUGACAAUAUCAUAUGCGAAUCUAUCAUCAGGUAUUUUGUCAAAUUGAGCAAUAGUAUUUUCACAGUCAUAAGAAACAACAUCAACUUUUUCGCGUUCAUAUUCAAGAAAAGGUAGAAGUUUCCUAUGUUGUUCUUUGCUUAUCUCAGAUGAAUGAUGUAAAGCUGUUAACUUCGCAUAUAAACGUUUAGCAGAGUUACAAUAAAUGUUUCGUUGUGCUAGUAACAACCUAAAUUCUUUAUCAAUAUUGUCCCUAUCACAAUUCACAUUUGUCAUUUGUAAUUCAAGUUUAUCUACUCUGCUUCGUUUAAUCUCUAAUUGUCUUCUUGUCUCAGCUAGUUGCGAUUUUAGAUUUUGUGCUUCUAUACUAGCCGACACAAUAACAGAAUCAAAAUAAGCAACAGUAUCAUCAAAUGAAGUUAUUUAAGCAUCAUAAGCAGAUAAAGGAAUAUUAAAGGAUUCAAGAAUAGCACGUACCUUAGUGGUCAUUGGAGAUUUAUCAGUGGACUUGGACACAAAGCAUCGUCCAGAAACAUUCUCUUCGCAAUUUUCUUCAUAAAUUGCGAACAUUGCACCAUGAGUUGGGUGCCUCAUCUCUUCAUCAUCAGAUCCUGAAGACCAGAUCUGAUAAGUUCCACUUUCUUCUUCUUCAUACUCUCCUUUCGCAACCAAAGACAAUCAUUUCGCCUUCGCACGCACCUCCUCAAGCUUCUCUGAGUAGUAGGCUUCGUCUUUGAUUUUGCUCUUCUUCUCCUCUUUCUUCCUUAACAUGCAAUCAGCUGCGAAAUGAUUCGCUCCACUGCAGUAAUGACAAUCAAUUCCAGAGUCACCUUUUAGUUUCUUUUCUGGUUUCGCAUCUUUCUGCUUUUCUUCAACCUUCUCUAAUUUCUUCUUCUCCUCACCUCACCCUUUUAUGAAACCACUCUUCGCAUCAGUUUGCUUUCCUUUUGGAUUGAAAGGCUUUUUGAAAAAUUUCUUAACUCUGUUGUUUGAAUAAAAUGCAACUGCUUCAUCAUCAGAAUUCAUUAAGAAACCUUCAUUGUCUGAUCCUUCCUUUUCACCAGCAUCAAUUUCAGUAACCUUCGAAACUAAAGCCAAUGGACCUCCUAGACUCUGUUUCGAUUCUUCAAACAUUUCUGUAACUUCGCUUUCAUGUGUUUUCAGUUGGUUGUAGAGAUCAUUAAGGGUGGAAGUAUCAAAAAUUUGUUGGUUCUUUAUCAUCAUACUCACACUACGCCAUUCCUUGCGAAGGCCCAUGAUGAAUGUCAGAUUGAAUUCCAUGAGAGAUCUUGUGAUUCCAUACAUGUUGCAACGAUAAACAAGCUCAUUCAGACGAUCAUAGUAGUUUUCAAUUGUUUCAGCAUCCUUUUGUCUGAAUUCCUUAAGCUCAACAAGACAUUUCUUAACGGAAUUGAUCUUUGUCUUCUCGCUACCUUGAUACUUCUCUUUCAGUGUGAUCCAAAUCUCCUUGGUUGUUUUACAACUACGAAUGUAAUUGUAAAACAGAGGAGGCAAUGCACCUGUUAGCUCCCUCAUACACCUUUUCUCAUUUUUCUCCAGGCGAUUCUGUUGUUCAGCAACUUCAUUUGAAGAAGCAGACGGUCCAAUUGAUUGAACAUUUUCAGGAGGUAGAACUUUUCCACUGAUAUAAUUCCAGAGCUCUUCGUCAAUUCCAUUUAAGUAAUCCUCCAUCCUAUCAGCCCACUGAUCAUAGUACUCAGGGAUUAACAUUGGAAUUUGGGUUGAAGAACCAAGUAAUUGAGAGAAAGAAGUCAUGGUAUUCAUGUUGAAGUUCGCCAUUGAUGAACACGAGAAUUUUUCAGAAAAACUUGAAAAACUUGAUGAAUUUGUGAAUUGAUCAAAUGAAUUAAUCACUGAUUGCUAAUCGAUCACUCGACUAAACAAUUCAAAUGCAGAAUCGAUUCAAAUCUGAAGAUCAAGAGAGAUUUUCAGAACCAAAAUGCGCGGAAAUGUUUUGAGUAAAAUCACUACUCAAAAAGCAAAUGAUUCUAAAACGAAAAUCAGAUCAAUGCAGUUUGAAUCCUGCUCUGAUACCAAUUGAUGAGAAUUGUAAUCAAGAUUUAGAAAGCAAUCAUGAUUAUAUGAAUGAAAGUAAGAACACAAGGAGUAAAUAUUAAACAGAUCUUAUAUUGAUGAAGAAACUGAUUACAAACUUAAGAAGAGAAAAAUGCGAAUGACUAACAAAUCACUCGUUGAAUCAAUCUUCUCUCUACUUCUAACCUCAGUCCCUAUUUAUAGGAAACAUGAGUGUACAAAACAUAUACUAAGUCCUUAACAAUACGCUUCGCACAAAUGAAGACUUAGUAAAAUAACUAACAUGCGAAACAGACACUUCGACUUUUACAAUUUCUAGACUCUACAACAUUCCUAACCCUUGUGGUACGCCUCAGAGGUACAGACUCGUCAAUUGGCUCAACAGGAGUUUCCUCCUCAGGUUAAGUGCUAGGGUUUAAAGUUCCUUCACCACUUGAUUCUUGAAUUUCUUCAAGGUCAAUUUUCCUCCCACUGUUUCCUUGGCUUAUGAACUCUCUCUCUCUCUCUCUCUCUCUUUCUCUCUCUUUCUUUCUCUCUCUCUCUCUCUCUCUCUCAAGACACCCCUCCUUGCUACAAAGACCACAUUCUAACUAGGUCUGUAGAAGAGUUAACCAAAAGAUUUUUGUUAGUAGCCGAUGAAAAUACACCUCUCACUUUGAGGUUCGAGCUUAUCAUGAGUCUCGUGCCUCACAAAAGCCUCGCAACCCCAAAUCUUGAUGUGGUCUAGUUUGGGAACUUUACUAGUUCACAUCUCAUGAGGAGUUUUGGCGACUUUCUUUGUAGGGACCAGAUUAAGGAUAUGAGCGGCAGUCUCUAAGGCAUACCCCCAAAAUGAGAUUGGUAGCAAAGCUCAACUCAUCAUGGAAUGAACCAUAUCCAAAAAGGCUCAAUUACGCCUCUUAGCCACACCAUUCAAUUAUGGUGUCCUAGGAGGUGUCAGUUGUGAGAUAAUCCCACAUUCCUUAAGAUAGUCGAGGAACUCUGUACUAAGAUAUUCACCACCACGAUCGAAUCGAAGCAUCUUAAUGUUCCUGCCCAAUUGAUUCUCGACUUCCUGUUUAAACUCUUUAAACCUUUCAAAAGUCUCUGACUUAUGCUUGAUUAAAUAGACAUAUCCAUAUCUACUAUAAUCAUCAGUAAAAGUCAAAUAAUAACAAUUAGCAUCCUUUGUGGCAGAUUUGAAGGGUCCACACACAUCUGUGUGUACCAGAUCCAACAAACCUUCACCCCUAGCACAAGAGCCAGUGAAGGGUGACUUUGUCAUUUUUCCAAGUAAGCAUGAUUCACAACUAUCAUAUGACUUUAGUUCAAAUGACUCUAAGAUUCCAUCCUUUUGGAGCUGGCCUAUGCGUUUCUUGCUCACAUGUCCAAGACGACAAUGCCAAAAUGAUGCUUUAUCCAAGUUAUUAUUAUUAGAAGAAUCAAUACACAACAUAUUAUUUCCUAGGUUAUCUACAACAGACAAAACUUCAUACACACCAUCACAAGGUAGUGCUUUAAAAUAAAGAACAUUAUUAAAGAAAGCAUUUAUUGCACCAAUUUCAUUAUCAAAAGAAAAGGUAAACACUUGUUUGUUUAAAGCAUGAAAGGAAAUAAUAUUUCUUGCCAUUUCUGGCGAAUAACAACAUUUAUUCAAAUCUAAAGUAAACCCACUACUUAGCAACAAAGAAUAAACUCCAAUCUUGGUGACAGGUGAAGCUUUCCUAUUCCAUAUGAUCAAGUUUAUCUUUCCAUGAUCCAUAUUCCAUAGGGCGAGUUAUUAGAUAGAAUAGUGUAAAUACCUGCAUGGUUAGGUUUGACUUUCCCAUCCUUCACAUCUUGCUGGUACUUUGGGCAGUUCCGCUUCCAAUGCGACUUUUCAUGGAAAUAGAAUCAUUCAGCCACUUUUGGGUCAGAAGAAAGAGUGACGAAACCUUUCUUGGUUCCAGGACAGGGGCGAAGUUUGGAGUAGGAGUAGGAGUGGUAACAGCCGACUUACCUUUAAGACCUGUUUCUGCGGUCUUUAGGAGUCCUUGAAGUUUGCUGAAUGUGACUCCUUCCUUAUUCAUGUGGUAUGUCAUGAGGAAUUGAUCAUAACAUGAGGGUAAGGAGUGCAAAAUGAUAUCUAUUGCUAGCUCCUCAGGGAAGUUCACAUUAAGCUUCAGCAAACGAUCCACAUACCUUUGCAUUUUCUGUAUGUGGCUCAUGACGGAUUCUCCAUCCUUCAUCCCAUUUGUUAUCAUGAAGGAGAUUAUUUCGUACCGCUCUUGACAAGCACUCGGAUGGUAUCUUUCCAUCAUAUCUUGGUGCAUCUCAAAAGGGUAGUAGCCCUCAUAGGACUUCUGGAGUUCAGCUGUCAUGGUGGCCAUCAUGAUGCAUGCCACUUUAGUGGCAUCUCUUUCAUGAGUCCGGAAGUCGGCGAUCUUCUGGGGAGUAGCAAUGGACUCAUCGAUCUCCUUUAGCUCCUUAUCGAGGACAUAUUCCUUGUCCUCGUAGCGAGUCACCAUCCUGAUGUUUCAGAUCCAAUCCAUAAAGUUGGGACCAUCGAAGAUGACCCUCCCACAUAGGUUCAUGAGGGAAAAGGAGUCAGUAGGGUUUGAGCUAGAAGCAGUGUUGUUGGAAGACAUCUGAAAAGAGGAGAACAAGUUUAGUUUAGAUAUAAAGAUAGUCCUUAAUAAAACACCCAAAUGUAAUAUUAAGGCUAGGAUCCAAUCACAAUAUAUCAUAACUUAGAAGAGGGAUGCCGUAAUCUAAGCUAUAAUAUAUUUGAAAGGUAGGUGAAUGACAUUUCACCAAUUUCCACCAUGAAAAACGAAAUAUAAGUAUUAGGUUUUAAUUGGUUUUUUAGAAAUUCCUAGAUUCUUUUGAGAUUCAAUGAACUUUUCAAAGGCAUGUUUCAAUCUCGAGUGUGCCCUCCAAGUUUUAUGACUGGGAUACCGAGGAUCACAAAACGAGGUGUAAAGUAACCAUGCAAAUCACUUGGUACCCUUAAUGUUUAUCACUCAAUCGAUGUGCCGGUUAACCACACGUGCUCCACCGACCUAUAAUAAACCUUAAGUCACCCUUUACCCACCUUAUUAAGUCCAAGUUAGUGUGUCGGUUAACCACAUACGCUCCACUAACGACUUAAACAAAGUGCAAAGUGUAAUUUCAUGGAUUAGCACCAUAUUCACAUUUUCCUAAAGUAAAUAAGAUUGGGAACUUAAUAAAACAUUUAGUUAAUCUAUAAUGAUCAUUAUACUUUUAGUGAGAAUUUUAUAAGUCCUUGUCCUACCCGUUCGGCUAACGACCCUCCACCAAUCAAGGAAGCGGUGGGUGAAAGUGGACACCCAUUAAGUUGCCAUUUUAUAGGCAACAACUUUAUACCCCCCUUAUUGACUGGCUUCAUAAAUGAGGCCUACUAAUGGUAAGACGACUUGAUCUUAUACAUACAUACAUAUAUAUAUAUAUAUNAUAUAUAUAUAUAUAUAUAUAUAUAUAUAUAUAUAUAUAUAUAUAUAUAUUUUGUUAAAAAACAACAUUAUAAAGUAUAAGGGUUGAUUUUUAACUUUUAAAAAUCUAGGGUUAGAACUAAAGUUUAUUAGCUGACGUUACAGGUUCCAAAAGUACUUGAGGGAAAGUUUUGUAACUUUACAAAACCUUUCAAUUCAUAACUUAUGAGUUAUUAAAAUGAAGACUCUUCAUUUUUGUAAGUUGUGUGUUCUUUUAAUGGUUUUAAUACAAAGUGACUUUUAUCCAUAACUUGAUGACAAGUUAUGGACUCCAUUAAAACACAUAAUGUAACAUCCGGAAUUUCAGGUAUUACAUUUAUUCAUUUUGUUUCAAGUUUUGUGGAAGAACUCGGCGAGUUGGUGCGUAGAAUCGCCGAGUAGAGACGCGAAUCAUUAUCCGGAUGGAUGGCUGGACUCGGCGAGUCGCCCCGAGGACUCGGCGAGUCCACACUGUUUAAUGAAACCCUAAUUCCUCGGGUUUGGGUCCUAUUUAAGGGGCCUUAUGGCCGUCAUUUGCGGCUACCAGACCCCAGAGAGAAACCCUAAGUGACCUAGAGCGAUUGUGAGAGGAAAGGAGCCCUUUCUUGAUCACUUGUUGGUGUUUUUGCAAAUAGAAAAGGACCAAGGCAAGAGGAGGCUGAAGAGGGUGCUAAUCCAGUGAUUCCAGGGCUCAGAGACUUCAUUUUGAGGUAUUCAUUCGACCCUUCUUCAGUUUAUGGUGUAAUUCCUUGAGUUAGGGCUUUUUAGCCCCUUUUAGAGGAAGGUUAUUGAGUAAUUGGUCCCUUCUCGUCUUGGUGCUGUAGAUCUGGACCCAAAGAGGUCCAGAGACCCUUUUCCCUUGAGCAUUAUGAGUGUUAAUGGGGGUUAUGAGCUUUGGAUGUCAUUUUAGUGGUCAUAUCUUCAAAUAAGGCCUUUAAGCCUUUGCAUGAGCACCAAGAUGAUAGAUUUACGUGAUUAUCAUGUUUGGGGAGGCCAGAUCUAUGAUUGUAUGGGACGGAUCUGACCUCAGAAGUUGUUUUGAGAGUGUGCAUGGCAUGAACUCGCCGAGUCCCAAGAACAGACUCGGCGAGUAGUAUGAAGGUUGCCCAUUAAUCAUUCAGUGAGUGGACUGCCGAGUUGGGGGAUGACUCAGUGAGUCAGAAAGGGAUUAGAGGACUGAAGUUCAAGGCUGUACUUGCCGAGUUGUUCUUGAAACUCGGCGAGUUGAGUCGCGGUGGCACCAUGAUUCAUGCCUGAUGUAACUCGUCAAGUUUAGGGAGGGACUCGACAUGCCAAGCGUGACAAAGAGUUAAGAGUCAUGUGUGUACUCGCUGAGUCACCGGAGUGUACUCGGCGAGUUGGGUCAAAGUUUGACCGUUGACUUUUGUUGACUUUUAGGGUUUGGUCAACAAUGGAGCCAUUGAGUCGAGAGGGGGGUAAAACAGUCUUUUACCCUUCUGAGGGUGACAAUAGAGGAUCGAGUCUAGCCUCGAGUGUUAUAUUUAUGAGGAUAUUUACUUUGUGUGAAUAGGCGGAGGCUAGGCAAUACUUCUACCGAGUCAGGGAUUUACGAGAGUCUGAGGUGAGUCUUCUCACUAUACUUUACCUUGAGUAGGUAAUUAGAGUUAUGUGAUACCGUGUUGUAUGCUAUAUAUGUGUUAUGUGUUGCACUGCAUUAUUUUAUGUGAUUUAUGCUGUGCAUGCUACAGAGUUAGAACCGGAAGGUUCACAGAGAUAGAACCUGAGGGUUCACAGAGUUGGGUGCACGGACCCACAAAGUUAUAGUCUCGAGUGGCUAAUAUGUGUUAUAUAUGGUAUUUUGGGGAACUCACUAAGCUUCAUGCUUACAGUGUUUUGUGUUAUGUGUUUCAGGUACUAGUGAGGAUCGCGGGAAGGCGCCGGCCUGAUCAGUACACACACGGGAUUUUUAUGUUAUGAGAUCUUGGGAUUGAUAUAUGUUAUGAAUUGAGUUUUAAACAAUGAUGUUUUUAUGAGUAAUGAAUGAAUUAUGUUUUUAUAAAAUGCGAAAAAUUGUUUUGAAAUUUACGGUGUUACAAGUUGGUAUCAGAGCCUUGGUUUGAGGGAUUCGAGUACACCUUCGGGCGUAUUUGAACUCAAACUGAGGAUUUGAGAAAUAUUUUCAAAAGAGAACCAAGUUUUCUAAAAAGAGUAAAAGAUUUUUGGAAAACGCAGAGCAGAGUCGUGUGUACGAUCAGUCAGCGCCCGAACGGUGAUUUCCCAAAAUACCCUUAUGUUAUAUGCUUAUGAGAUUGAUAUGAUGUAUUCUCGUGCUAGAGUGGGCUAGGUAUUCCUAUUAGGACUAGAGUGGCCUGAUUUGUGAUGCCUUAGCCUAGGGGGAGGUGAGCUGCUAUGAGAUGCUUGAGAGUGAGUUGUUAGCAGUAAGAAGCUUAUGAGAGAUCUGUUAGAGAAAGGAUUUUGCAUAAUAGAGUACUUGGGACUUGGGAUCCUAGGAGGAGGACUUGGGGUGUAUGCUGACACGGUGUGGACGGUAGUAUUAGGCCCCUACUACUGAAAACACUGGGACGGUGUACAGUUCAAGUAAGGAUCUUCGGGAUGCCAGGGAUCAAUGAGGGAUGAGUUAUCGAGUGCGAGUAUGCUCGAGUGAGUUUCUAAUAUAUCGUAUGUUGUAUUUCAGAGGUAGAUCAUGGUGAGGACACAUCAUGCGCCAGAGAGCAAUGAGACCAGUGAUGAGGAGAUCCACCAGAUCAUCCAUGAGGAGGUGGCUGCGGCCAUCAGGGCAGUGAUACCAGAUAUGUUCGGGUCUAUCAAGACCACGCUGAUUGAGACUUUUGACGAGCGUUAUGCCGCUCUUUCUGAGGCUGCUGUUGCAGCGGCCACCGCAACCAUCGCUGCUGCUAGGCCGCAAGGGGGUGACUCAUUGUUGUUCAGGGAGUUCAGCAACACGAAGCCACCAGAGUUUGAUGGGACGCAGGAUCCGAUUGCAGCGAUGAGAUGGGUAUCUAACAUUGAGGGGUGUUUCUAUACAUGCUCGUGCCCGGAGCACUUGAGGGUUCGGUUUGCGCUGAACCAGCUUCGCCUGGGGGCGAAGGACUGGUGGAAGUUCACGACAGCACACUAUUCUCCAGCAGAGCUUGCUGCGGUGACCUGGGAGAGGUUCACCGCCAUGUUUCGUGAUGAGUACGUUCCCCUGGUGGAACGGGAUCGAUUGGCACAGGAGUUUUUGACCCUCAAGCAGGGUACGGAGUCUGUUACGGUUAUUACCAGGAUGUUUCAUGAGAGGGCGAUGUUCUGCCCUAAGCACGUGUCUACUGAGCAAGCACAUAUGAGCCGUUAUUUGAGUAUUUUGAGGAGAGAUAUUCGGGAGUUCGUGGCGAACUCCUCGUAUCGGACAUUUGCUGAGCUUCAGGCAAAUUCUCGGAAGAGGGAGAUCGAGCUAGAGACUCGGGCUAGGGAGGAGGCGGAGUCUCAGGGGAGGGAUCGGCGACCGGCACAGGCCCAGCCGGCAGCCCAGCGGGGCAAGCCCGCUGAUCCCAAANNNNNNNNNNNNNNNNNNNNNNNNNNNNNNNNNNNNNNNNNNNNNNNNNNNNNNNNNNNNNNNNNNNNNNNNNNNNNNNNNNNNNNNNNNNNNNNNNNNNNNNNNNNNNNNNNNNNNNNNNNNNNNNNNNNNNNNNNNNNNNNNNNNNNNNNNNNNNNNNNNNNNNNNNNNNNNNNNNNNNNNNNNNNNNNNNNNNNNNNNNNNNNNNNNNNNNNNNNNNNNNNNNNNNNNNNNNNNNNNNNNNNNNNNNNNNNNNNNNNNNNNNNNNNNNNNNNNNNNNNNNNNNNNNNNNNNNNNNNNNNNNNNNNNNNNNNNNNNNNNNNNNNNNNNNNNNNNNNNNNNNNNNNNNNNNNNNNNNNNNNNNNNNNNNNNNNNNNNNNNNNNNNNNNNNNNNNNNNNNNNNNNNNNNNNNNNNNNNNNNNNNNNNNNNNNNNNNNNNNNNNNNNNNNNNNNNNNNNNNNNNNNNNNNNNNNNNNNNNNNNNNNNNNNNNNNNNNNNNNNNNNNNNNNNNNNNNNNNNNNNNNNNNNNNNNNNNNNNNNNNNNNNNNNNNNNNNNNNNNNNNNNNNNNNNNNNNNNNNNNNNNNNNNNNNNNNNNNNNNNNNNNNNNNNNNNNNNNNNNNNNNNNNNNNNNNNNNNNNNNNNNNNNNNNNNNNNNNNNNNNNNNNNNNNNNNNNNNNNNNNNNNNNNNNNNNNNNNNNNNNNNNNNNNNNNNNNNNNNNNNNNNNNNNNNNNNNNNNNNNNNNNNNNNNNNNNNNNNNNNNNNNNNNNNNNNNNNNNNNNNNNNNNNNNNNNNNNNNNNNNNNNNNNNNNNNNNNNNNNNNNNNNNNNNNNNNNNNNNNNNNNNNNNNNNNNNNNNNNNNNNNNNNNNNNNNNNNNNNNNNNNNNNNNNNNNNNNNNNNNNNNNNNNGAGGAGUUACGGGUGUGCCUCCCAAGAGGUAGGUUGAGUUUCGCAUUGAUUUGAUUACGGGGGCAGCACCUAUUGCCAAGGCACCCUAUCGCCUUGCACCUCCAGAGAUGCAGGAGUUAUCCUCGCAGCUUCAGGAGCUGCUGGGGAAGGGGUUUAUUUGGCCAAGCAGUUCGCCGUGGGGAGCACCGAUCCUUUUUGUGAAGAAAAAGGAUGGUUCGCACCGAAUGUGCAUAGAUUAUCGAGAGCUGAACAAGUUAACGGUCAAGAACCGUUAUUCUUUGCCGAGGAUCGAUGAUUUGUUCGAUCAGCUGCAGAGAGCAUCUUGGUUUUUCAAGAUUGAUCUGAGAUCUGGAUAUCAUCAGAUGAGGGUGCGCAAGGAGGAUAUCCAGAAGACCGCGUUUAGGACUCGUUAUGGGCAUUACGAGUUCGUGGUGAUGCCAUUCGGGCUCACCAAUGCGCCCGCAGCGUUCAUGGCUCUCAUGAACAGGGUAUGCAGACCGAUGCUGGACCAAUCAGUGAUUGUGUUCAUUGAUGACAUUUUGGUGUAUUCGAGGUCCAGGGAGCAGCAUGAGGAGCAUUUGCGAGAAAUCCUUAGUGUGCUAAGAUCGGAGAGGCUUUAUGCCAAAUUCUCCAAGUGCGAUUUUUGGUUACGAGAGGUGCAAUUCCUUGGUCACCUCGUUAACCAAAAGGGGAUUUUGGUCGAUCCGGCCAAGAUCGAGGCGGUGUUGAGUUGGGAGGUGCCGAAAUCUCCUUCCGAGAUCAGGAGUUUUCUAGGGUUGGCCGGCUAUUAUUGGAGGUUCAUCAGGGAUUUCUCCAAGAUUGUUGUUCCUCUCACCAGGUUGACCCGGAAGGGUGUGGUGUUCAGCUGGGGCCCAGAGCAGCAGGCCUCAUUUGAGACUCUUCGCCAGAGAUUGUGCGAAGCCCCGGUGUUGGCUCUUCCAGAGGGAAUGGAGGACUUCGUGGUGUAUUGUGACGCAUCUAUAUCUGGGUUGGGCGCGGUGUUGAUGCAGAGGGGGUAUGUGAUUGCGUACACAUCAAGGUAGCUGAAGCCCCACGAGGCAAGGUAUCCCACCCACGAUCUAGAGUUGGGGGCUGUGGUGUUCGCCCUCAAGAUUUGGCACCAUUACCUGUAUGGGAUUCGUUGUACGAUACACACAUACCACAAGAGUUUGAAGUAUUUGAUGGAUCAGCCAAACCUGAACAUGCGUCAAAGAAGAUGGUUGGAUGUAGUAAAGGAUUAUGAUUGCGAGAUCCUGUACCACCCGGGCAAGGCUAAUGUGGUAACCGACGCCCUUAGUCGUAGGGCAGAGAGCGCCCCAAUUUGGGAUAUUUGUAUGAGAUUGACGGUGAUGACUCCGGUGUUGGACAUCUUCAGAGGGGCUCAGGUUGAGGCAGUAAGACCGGAGAACCGUAAGAGAGAGCGAGUUAUCGGUCAGGUGUCAGAGUUCGUGACCGAUAGCAGAGGGCUUAUGACCUUCCAGGGUCGGAUUUGGGUACCGUUUGUUGGAGGAACGCGUACCAUCUUGAUGGAGGAGGCGCAUAGAUCGAGAUUCUCGAUCCAUCCCGGGGCCACUAAGAUGUUUCUGGAUCUUAAAAGGGAGUAUUGGUGGCCCUGUAUGAAGAGAGAUGUAGCGUGGUUUGUUGAGAGGUGCCUAACCUGUCGUAGGGUUAAGGCCGAACAUCAGAGACCGCAUGGUAAGUUGCAACCACUGGAAGUCCCAGAGUGGAAAUGGGAGCAGAUAUCCAUGGAUUUUAUCACCAAAUUGCCGAGAACGGCGAGGGGUGUCGAUGCGAUUUGGGUGAUAGUAGACCGUUUGACAAAGAGCGCUCACUUUCUUGCCAUUAGUGAGAGCUCUUAUGCGGAGAAGUUAGCAGAGGUAUAUGUGAGAGAGGUGGUAUCGCGGCAUGGGGUGCCGAUCUCGAUUGUGUCCGAUCAAGAUGUGCGUUUCACUUCCAGAUUUUGGAAGAAAUUCCAUGAGGGGUUGGGUACGAGACUACAUUUUAGUACCGCAUACUACCCACAGACUGACGGUCAGUGCGAGCGGACGAUUUAGACGCUCGAGGACAUGCUCCGAGCAUGUGUGUUGGAUUUUGGCGGAAGUUGGGACACGUAUUUUCCCUUAGCGGAGUUCUCCUACAAUAACAGGCAUCAUUCGAGCAUUGGUAUGCCGCCUUUUGAGCUGUUGUAUGGAAGGAGAUGUCAGAAUCCCAUUUUUUGGGGAGAGGUAGGGAAACGAGUGAUGGGUAGUACGGAGAUUGUGCUUCAGACGACAGAGCAGAUACAACGGGCCAAGCAGAGAUUGUUGACCGCUCAGAGCCGCCAGAAGAGUUAUGCGGAUAGGCGACGAUCCGAGCUUGAGUUCCAGGUCGGUGAUUAUGCUCUCCUGAAGGUAUCUCCUUGGAAAGGAGUGAUUCGAUUCAGGAAGAGGGGCAAGCUAGGGCCCCGGUAUAUUGGGCCGUUCAGAGUGAUCGCGAGGGUGGGCAGGGUAGCAUAUCGCUUGGAGCUACCUGCGGAGUUGGAGCGGAUUCAUAAUACCUUCCACGUGUCUCAGUUGAGGAAGUGUAUAGCCGACGAGUCAGCGGUAGUGUCAUUANAGUGGUUCCAUUGGAGGAUAUUCAGGUGGAUGCGAGCCUGAAUUACGCGGAGAGACCAGUGGCGAUCAUGGAUCGGAAGAUCAAGGUUCUGAGGAACAAGGAGGUGCCUUUGGUGCAGGUUCAGUGGCAACAUCGGAGGGGAUCCGAGUUGACUUGGGAGCCGGAGCGAGAGAUGCGUGAGCAGCAUCCGGAGCUAUUUCAGGGAUGAGACUUCGAGGGCGAAGUCUGAUUCAAGUGGGGGAGAAUUCUAACAUCCGGAAUUUCAGGUAAUAUAUUUAUUCAUUUUGUUUUAAGUUUUGUGGAAGAACUCGGCGAGUUGGUGCGUACACUCGCCGAGUAGAGAUGCGAAUCACUAUCCGGAUGGAUGGCUGGACUCGGUGAGUCGCCUUGAGGACUCGGCGAGUCCAUGCUGUUUAAUGAAACCCUAAUUCCUCGGGUUUGGGGCCUAUUUAAGGGGCCUUAUGGCCGUCAUUUGCGGCUACCAGACCCCAGAGAGAAACCCUAAGUGACCUAGAGCGAUUGUGAGAGGAAAUGAGCCAUUUCUUGAUCACUUGUUGGUGUUUUUGCAAAUGGAAAAGGACCAAGGCAAGAGGAGGCUGAAGAGGGUGCUAAUCCAGUGAUUCCAGGGCUCAGAGACUUCAUUUUGAAGUUUCAUUCGACCCUUCUUCAGUUUAUGGUGUAAUUCCUUGAGUUAGGGCUUUUUAGCCCCUUUUAGAGGAAGGUUAUUGAGUAAUUGGUCGCUUCUUGUGUUGGUGCUAUAGAUAUGGACCCAAAGAGGUCCAGAGACCCUUUUCCCUUGAGCUUUAUGAGUGUUAAUGGGGGUUAUGAGCUUUGGAUGUCAUUUUAGUGGUCAUAUCUUCAAAUAAGGCCUUUAAGCCUUUGCAUGAGCACCAAGAUGUUAGCUUUACGUGAUUAUCAUGCUUGGGGAGGCCAGAUCUAUGAUUGUAUGGGACAGAUCUGACCUCAGAAGUUGUUUUGAGAGUGUGCAUGGCAUGAACUCGCCGAGUCCCAAGAACAGACUCGGCGAGUAGUAUGAAGGUUGCCCAUUAAUCAUUCAGUGAGUGGACUGCCGAGUUGGGGGAUGACUCAGUGAGUCAGAAAGGGAUUAGAGGACUGAAGUUCAAGGCUGUACUCGCCGAGUUGUUCUUUAAACUCGGCGAGUUAAGUCGCGGUGGCCCCGCGAUUAAUGCCUGAUGUAACUCGUCGAGUUUAGGGAGGGACUCGACGUGCCAAGCGUGACAAAGAGUUAAGUGUCAUGUGUGUACUCGCCGAGUCACCAGAGUGUACUCGGCGAGUUAGGUCAAAGUUUGACCGUUGACUUUUGUUGACUUUUAGGGUUUGGUCAACAAUGGAGCCAUUGAGUCGAGAGGGGGGGGGGGGUAAAAUAGUCUUUUACCCUUCUGCGGGUGACAAUAGAGGGUCGAGUCUAGCCUCGAGUGUUAUAUUUAUGAGGAUAUUUAAUUUAUGUGAAUAGGCGGAGGCUAGGCAAUACUUCUACCGAGUCAGGGAUUUAUGAGGGUCUGAGGUGAGUCUUCUCACUAUACUUUACCUUGAGUAGGUAAUUAGAGUUAUGUGAUACCGUGUAGUAUGUUAUAUAUAUGUUAUGCGUUGCACUGCAUUAUUCUAUGUGAUUUAUGCUGUGCAUGCUACAGAGUUAGAACCGGAAGGUUCACAGAGAUAGAACCUGAGGGUUCACAGAGUUGGAUGCACGGACCCACAGAGUUAUAGUCCCAAGUGGCUAAUAUGUGUUAUAUAUGGUAUUUUGGGGAAGUCACUAAGCUUCGUGCUAACAGUGUUUUGUGUUAUGUGUUUCAGGUACUAGUAAGGAUCGCGGGAAGGCGUCAGCCUGAUCAGUACACACAUGGGAUUUUUAUGCUAUGAGAUCUUGGGAUUGUUAUAUGCUAUGAAUUGAGUUUUAAACAAUGAUGUUUUUAUGAGUAAUAAAUGAAUUAUGUUUUUAUAAAAUGCGAAAAAUUGUUUUGAAAUUUACGGUGUUACACAUACAGAUCAUGAAUUAAGCAUUAAACAAGUAACUCCUAUGAUCUAUCAAGAACUCAUAAGAACAUGAAUAUUCAUAUCAAAAUUUCAAGAACACAUGAACACAUAUAAUCAUGUAAUUUUGAUAUUAGCCAUUGUAAAGGGAUUAGAACAACCAUUACACCAUCUAAAACAAGUUUCACAACACCAAAACAGUUUAGGGUAAUGUUUCUAGUCAAUUUCCAAUAGCAAAAAUCAAAAUUCUGCACUCUGCCUGGCCAACUCGUCGAGUGCAAGAACUAACUCGCCGAGUUGGUUGAAGUUUCACUUAGACUCGUCGAGUCUCCUGUGCAGACAACUUAAAAAUUCGAUUUUUACACUAUUUUGCAUCAAGUAUCGUCAAACAAGCCUAGGCUCUGAUACCACUAAUGGGUUAUGAGCAUUCUAACACCCCUAAGUGUACAUGCAACCCUAGAAAACCUUGGAUCUAUGUUUAUCUAAAAUACAUGCAAAAUAUGAUUUCCAAGGUUCAUAAUCCUAUCUAGCAUACAUGGGGAACUUUUAACAUAAAAGAUGGCUAGAAUUACAUACCUUGUAGUUGAUUUGAUUCCUUGAAAACCUUGAGAGCCUAACACCCCAAGUGUGAUGCCUCAAAUGUUUCACACAACACCAAGUGCUUUGGAAUAAUUUUGAGAGAAUGUAGAACACUUCAAAACCAGCCUAGCUCUCUUCUUUUCUUAGUGUAACCGAUUUUAGAUGAUAUCAUGUUCUUUAUAUAGUGUGUUACACUUAGGGUUACACCAUGUAAACCCUAAUGUAACAUGACUCUUCAUUUCCAUGACCCAUGGGUUUAAACCUCCAUGGAGCAUCCUAUGGUUCUUACCCUAACUUGUUAAUCCAUGGAGCCUUUAGCCCACUAUACAAGUUAUGGAUGAUUUACAUAAUCAACCCAUAUAUUUAAUUAAUCAUCUUUUGAUCACUUAAUUAAUUCUAAAUUAAUUAUUGAUCAAUACUAAUUAAAUGAUAUUAUUAAUAUUAGAACUUAUAAUAUAUUAAUAAACCAUAAGUGUUAUUUCUCUCAUUUUAGUUUAUCCAAAUGCAUGAUGCCAUGCAACCCAAAUGGACCAUGUCGGGUCAGGUCAAGUACAUACCAAAUAGAGUUAUGGACUUAGACAACUUAUCCAACAAGAUGAAGGUCUUGAGCAACAAGGAUAUACCUUUGGUAAUAGUUCAGUGGCAACAUUGGAGAAGCUCCGAGUGGACUUGGGAGCCAGAGGUUGAGAUGUAGGAGCAUUAUCCUGAGUUACUCGUCGCAGCCAACUUCGAGGAUGAAGUCUAGUUCAAGUGGGGGAUAACUGUAACAUCUUGCCUUGAGGUACUUUCUUUUUUACCCUUAUACUGCGAUUUAUUGCAUUUUGGUCCUUAAAAUGUAAGACUUUUGGAUGGAAGGGGCUAUUAUGGCCAUUUUUGGAAUUGUGGGCGGAGCCACGUAUUAUGGGUGUACAUUUGCGUAUGCUGGGCAUAUGGGGUGAAGUCGCAAACCCUAAUAUUUGGGGUUUGGACCCUAUUUAUUCAUCAUUAACUCUUAAACCUGGUUCCCUUCAUCAACCUCCAUCCUCUCAAAACGUAUUUACAACCCCUAAUCUACCUUGUGAGCAUUUUUAAGCUUGAGUGUGUGUGUGUGUGUGUGUGUGUGUGUGUGUCUGUUGUGCCUUUGAAGAAGAAGGAAGGAAGUAGAGACCAUCUUGGAGGAGUGAAGCACAUUAGAUCUAGAAUCACACCAUCAUUUGACAUCUCUUGGAGGUAUAAAAUUCUAAACUUGGUGAAGUUAUACAUAGAUCUUAUUUAAGGCUUGAUUUUAUGUUCUUUUGACCCCCUAAGCUUAGUAUUAUGAGUAGGGGUUACUCUAAUCCUUUUGAGAUGUUCUUUUAGAGCUUUUGGAGCCCCUUAGGCCUUGAGUCAUAAAAAUGUAAUCAUGGACACUAGUUUCUUCUGACACAUGGUCUUAAUGGAUUAAGAGGUUAGGAUCUUUGGUGUUGGGUAUUUAAUAGUCAUGCAAGACCAUAAAGUUGGAAACUUUAUGGUCAAAGACAUCAUUUGGGACUAGGAUCUAGAAAUUUGACUUAAAGGCUUAAGGAUUAAGCUCUUAAUGAGUUGGGUUAGCAGCCAGCUGUGUACGCGUACAAGGUUUACGGUGUACGUACAUGGUCUACAGGCCCAUGCCUGGUCAAUCAUUAAGUACGUUGGGUGUACUCAGUUGGGUUAACUCGGUUGUCUUUUGAGAAUUUUGACUUUUACCUGAUUUUGACCAAGUUUGACCUAGGGGUAUUUUGGGUAUUUUAGAUUAUGUUUAAGAAUUGGUGGUUUGGAUGGAUAGGUGAUUAUUAGAGUUGAGAUUCAAAGUCGAGACCUCAUUAGCUAUUGUUCGAACUGUGAGGUGAGUUUUACCUCAUUGUACUUUUGGGUCAAAGGUACCUAGGUCGGCCCAUUGGAUUGAUAUCCUAGUUUAUCGUGUGUUGCUAUGUUGUAGUCAUCUAUUAGAUCUGUAUCCUAGUUUAUUGGAGGUUGCUAUGUGGUAGUGAUUUUUAGAUCUUCCUAUUUGACUGUUGACUGAUUAUACAUUUAUUUAUUGUGUAUAUGUCGACAUAUUGUGUUGGGUUGAGGUUGUACUACUUUGUGUUGUAGCCAACAAACCCGAGAGCAUUCCAGAUAUGAGUUGAGGGCCGGUUGGCAUGCCAAACUCAUACUAAGGGCUUGGGAGCAUUCCAGAUAUGAGCCGAGGCCCCGAAUGACAUGUCAGACUCGUACCGAGGGCGCGAGGGUAUUCUAGUCCGAUGAUUGAGUGGACUCGUUGUAUGACAUUCCAGUCCGAUGACUGAUUGGCCCAUGGGUAAUCCAAAUGGAUGGCUGUGGACCUGGGGGUAUUCCAAUCUGAUGACUGAUUGGACCCAACAUGCUUGUUCAUUUAUGUUAUAUAGUUUAUGUGGUGGUACUUUGGGAGAAACUUACUAAGCGUUGACUUAUAAUUUUUUGUUAUGAUUUCAGGUACUUCUGAGGAUCGCGGGAAGGCGAAUGCGUGACCGUACACAUCCUGAUUUUAUGUUAUUGAUCUUGGGAAUCUCUGUUGUGAACAAUGUUUUUAAAACAAUGGUUUUGUAAACAUUUUUAUUAGUAAAUGAGUUGAUUUGAAAAGUUUAAACUGGUUGUGAUUUUUGAGAUAUUACAAUAUCCGACUUACUUUCCUAUAUUAUAAACUGACUAGGCACACUGCCUAUUAGUGCAUUAGUAGUUAAAUUACGUUAGGUUAUAAAUUUAAAACUGUUAGAUAUAAGUUGCACACUUGACGCAUUCUCUUUCGCAUUCUCUUUUCUCACGUGUUUGGUGCGGCUCCUUCAUGCGUACAAUAAAUAUGCAUGUGGUGUUUUUUUUUUAUCAACAAUACUAGUUUGGUGCAGCUCCCUAAUGAUUGCAUAUGUAUGUGCUGUUUUUAUUAACGGUAGUAAGAGUUUGGUGUGGCUGCCUAACGAGAAGUGUGAACAUCACAAAAAUUAUUCCGCCAAUUUUAGCUCUUUGGAAUCUCUCUAUUCAAAUUUUGUAAACACUGUGAAAUUAUAGUGGAAUGUUUCUCGGCUUCUUCCACCCGUGGUUUUUUCCGAUUUGGGUUUUUCCACGUAAAAAUCCUUGUGUCUCCUUUAUUUAUCAUUUUCAUUCGUAUCUUAUUGGUGGUUGAUUGCGUUUGAUAUUUUAAUUCCAUUCCACGUCAAACUAAUAUUAUUCUAAAUUACUCGGAUUCUUGGGACGUGUUUCACACACGUAUUACUACAUAUACAACAAGAAUUAAAUCACACGAGCAAAAUAACUAAUUCUUAAAUAAACGUCAACUACAUACAUGAGACUUGGAAUACAUGGUCUGUACAGGUCAAAUACUGUGUAACAUAUAAAAAAUAUAUUAUGUUGUUAAAAUAUAACGAUUUUUUCUUAAUUUUUUAUAAACAUUAGACAAAAAAUAAAGAUUAUGUAACAAUAACUAUGCAAUUUGGCAAGGUAUACUGUAAAUUGCAUAUAAGUUAUAAACAAUGUAAAAUGUGCCCAAAAUAACGUGUUUUGGUCCCAUUCCAGAAUAUAAAGCUAUAGACAUCUGGCAAUGUGUCCUCGUGAAAUUGACCACAAUGGACUCGAUGUGAUUCCCAUGCUUAAGGCAAAAAAACUAAAGUGCAUGUUAAGGCUUUUAUAAAGGGAGUUUUUUUUUACAUAAAGACAGUGGUUAGAAAAAGUAUUUACAACAUUGAUGUAGUUGUGUAUUUAUUUACCAUAACAUGGUAGUUUAAAUAAAUAUAGCUUUUGAAUUAAUUCUUUUACGUUUUUUUUUUCUAAAAAUCGGCAAAAACCAUUUGUCCCGAUAGAUAUCAUUUCUUCAUUAAUUACUUUUACUAACUAACUAGUGCCAAAAGUUUUUUUUUUUUUUUUCUUCGCUCAAAGUCACUAUGGAGGCCACUUUCAAAUGAAUUUGGGUUUCUUCACUCCCAUUCCAUCUUCAUUUUUGUGGCAUAAGAUAUGAGAAACAGGAGAUAUCGAUUCGAUCUACAUCACAUAACAGAAGCAGAUGACGUCGAUUCCAUUAACUAAUUGUUCAAUCUUCAUUUCCGACUAUAAUUGUUACACAAUGGAGAGCAUAUAAGGUUGUGAUUGAAACAAUCAACCUUGUGGCGGAAAACUAAGGGAGAAGCAUAGGAAAAAAGUAAAAAAGAGGAAGUAGAUCAAAGCAAACACUAGAACAGAAAACGUCAUUCAAUUUCCCUGGCGCUCCCUCUAGUCGGUUUAAAGAAGAAAAUGGAUGAUGAAUUGGGAUUACUACAUCGAUUGCUACUCCAGUUAGAGAUCUUAAUUUUGACGAAAGCAAAAACCCUCAUCUCAUAUCUAUCCUUCUUCAUGAACCACCAAUGUUGAAGAAGAAACUUAUUUGGAUGUGGAAAUUCAUAGGUUUGAAGUUUUUACAGUGUUUCAAGAUAGUGUUUGGAAUUCAUGCUUUGGUCGUGAGAUUUCUUGGAAUGGUCACAAGAGGUUGAUGGACUAGGUUGCGUACCGGAAAAUAUCAAAAAGAGAGGUGGAAACCAUAAGCCGGUGGUCGAGUAGGAAAGAAAGGGGGUUGAGAUAUAAUUUGUUAUUUUAUUUAGAGGGUGUUUGGAUUAACUUCUGGCCAUUGUAAAAGGAUUUUUUAUAAAAAAUAUUUUUUAAAAUGUAUUUGGAUUAGUUUUUUAAAAGGAAAAAGUUAAAAGUUAAAAGUUAAAAUGUUUUGUUUAAUUUUUAUAUGUAAAAUAACUAAAAAGGACAUGUUUACAUUGGGUUCAUUAAUUUAUCAAAAUUCUAAUCAAAACAAAAUAAAUAGAAUAUCACAGCAUAUCAUCAAGUUCACAGAACUGUUAAAUUCAUAUUUCAUCAAGUUCAUAGAUUGUUAAAUUCAUAUUUCAUCAAGUUCAUAGAUUGUUAAUUCACAGCAUAUCAUCAGCUUCAUAUUAAUUUCACAGCAUAUCGCAGAAUUGUUUUUUUUUCAAAUGAAUUAAUUUCAGAAAUCGGGAGGAACAUCACUAUUAGAGAUGCUAGAAAAUCAGAAAUAGACAGGAAUAUCAAUUCAAUCUGGAAAUAUUUCAUCAAUUUCACAGCAUAUCAAUUUCAUAAAAUCGGGCUUCAUAUUUCAUCAAUUUCAGUAAAUCAGGAUAUAUUUCAUCAAUUUCAGAAAUAAGGAAAUAUUUCAUCAAUUUCACAGCAUAUCAUUGCUACUGAAAAUCGAAAAUAGACAGGAGGUUGGAAAUCGACUGAAAAAAAAAACUGAUCAGAGAUGGAGAAAGGUCGGUGUUGAAGGUCGUCGGUGUCUCCGGUGCUGCUGCAGGUCGCCGGUGUUGCAUGUCGCCGGUGUCGUCGGUUGAUGUUACUGGAGAUGCCAUGCGAGAGAAGAGGGUGAGCGGAGUGAACGAGAAUGAGGGAAUCAAUAAUAUGUGAAUGAAUGGUAGAUGGGGUAUAAUGGAAAUUCAAUAUUUUUAGCUGGUGAAAAGUUAUGAAAAGUCAGUUAACCGUGACUUUUCAAAAAGACUCAAAUUACUCUAUACGAAAAGUUAUUUUCAAAAGUCAUUUUCCCUUCACCAAACAUCUUUUUGAUUUUUUCCAAAAGAUAAAGUUAAAAGUCAUUUUAAAAGUUUAGUCAAACACCCUUUUAGUUUGAAUAAAUUAAAUGGGGUCUACAGUAGAAAACCAGUUAUGUUUAAGUAAAUACUUUUAAGAGUACGAUACAUUGAUAAAUAAUUUUCUAAAACACUAGUCUCAUGUACAAAACUCCUUAUAAAGGUAAUAAACUAUAUCAUAAAAGAAUAAUUAGUUAAGUAUGGUUUUUUAUUUACACGUAUAAUAAUUUUAGUUUUUUUAGGGCAGUAUAUGAACCGAAUGAAAAUGAAUGAAGCUUGUUCAUGUUCGUUUAUUUAAGUAAGUUGAACAAACAAACACGAACAGAUAAACGAACGAGUUUUUUUGUUAUGUUUGUUCCUUUAACAAUUUACAUUGUUUAUAUUCAUUUGUUGUAUUCGUGAACAUGCUAAACAAACAUAAAUGAACAUAGAUAAACAUAUAUAAUUGAACAUAUAUGAAAAUAAAUGAACUUAUAAUAUAGUAAUGUAAUCAAACACAAUUGAAUACAUAUGAAUAAAAAGGGAACAUAAAUGAACAUAAAUGACGUAAACGAACAACAUAAAUGAACGUUCACGAACAUAAAUUAACGAAUAAGAUCAUUGUUCAUGUUCCUUCGUUCAAAUAAACGAACUAAAAUUUGUAUUCAUGUUCGUUUGUUUAUUACAUAAUAGAACAUAAACGAACUUCAUGUUGAACUUCACAAAAAAUUCGUUAAACGUUCGGUUCGUUUAGAACCUUACAUGUACACAAUAUAAAUUUCAUUACCUUUAUAAUUCAUUAAACCAAAAGAAAAUUAUGAGACCUCAUUAUUUCUAUUUAUAUUUUGCAGCAGAAACACGUUCUCAACUCAAAUGUCAACUCGUAAUGGCCUACGAGGAAAAUAUAUACGUUUAAGUUUUUCUUAUACAAACGUGUAUAUAUGACUUGUUUCUUUAAUCCGUUUGUAUAUUCAAAGAUUUAAAGCAUUUUCUAAAGGAUACACAUUUUGUAUCUUCAAGACACCCUGGAAGAUGCCAAAAACACGUGGUUUUGACAUAAACUUUCUAUAAAUGUUUUGCAUGAUGCAUUAUAAAAUGCAUGAUUACUAUAAAAAUCAAUAUUUUUUUGGCUGAUGUUCAAUAUAAAACUUCCCAAAAAUUAUCAUUUGUCAUUUUCUACUUUUCAAUUGUUAGUAGCACUUGGCAAAGUGCAAUUUGAUACGAGCGUUGGGUGAAACCAUCUGUAAAAACCUAGCUUCGACUGUAAUUUCAUCUCUCGGUGUAUAUAUAAAUACACGGCAUCAUCAGUCUGCUUUACUCAAGCUUCAAAAGCUAACCUCAAGUCAAAAGCACACUCUCACACACUCUCUAUUUCUAAAACUCUACGAAAUGGACACCAAAGUUGCUUCGGUCGACCACGUUGCAUUGCCAAAUGGCGACGUCGGCUGUCUACCACCACACGGUGGCGUUUCCUCCAUCCAGUCAUCCACCGUUCCUUUCAACUUCUCCGAGGCCACUCUCGGCCGACACCUGGCUCGCAGGCUAGUUCAGAUCGGUGUCUCUGAUGUCUUCUCUGUUCCCG